AACCCACGUUGAUUAAUUAGCCAAAUAUUCAGAUCUUGUGUAACUAUAUAACUAUGUCUUUCUUUAUAAAUGUAAUUUAGAAAUCUAUAAGUUGGUUUAAUUAACACGUCCAAGUUUGGGUGUUUAAUUACCAAAAACUGGUUAAUUUUCACGUUAAUUUGUUUUAGAUGUUUUGCAUGUAAUUGUAUGUCCAUGUGACAUUCAAAACUACAUUGUUGUUGUUACUUGUUAGAAGUUUAGAUGAGUUUAUUGUGUUUUUUAAUAAACAUUUUUCCAAAAUAUGCAACUCUUCAAUUAUUUUGUGUUGUCUUUAAACAUUUGUAUUAGAGAACAGAAGUUAGGGUCACGGCCAGGCAUGUCAAAUUUGGGGCCACAAACCAAAAAAAAAAAAAUUGGAUGGAUUUUAUAGAUAACACUAAGAAUAUUAAGACUAAAUAUUAAAACUUUAGGAAACUCAAGCCUGUUUUUGCAAUAACAAAUAGAUAGAAGUUAAAAAUUUAUACAAAAUUUAAAGAUUUUAAAAAGAACGGGGACUAUGUAUACAACAUUUUUUUAAAUGGGGCAUAUUUUUUUAAACAAAAAUAAAUUAAUAAUUGGGGACCAAUACAUAUGUGUCUUGGGCAUGUGUAGACGGCCGGGCCUGGUUAGGGUAGACAUUGUGCUUGGUGGUACAGUACUACAUUUCGACAUUUCACAUUUUUGAAAGUUUGCAAUAAUAUGCAAUAUGGCUCUUCUUAGUUAAGUAUUUCACUAUUUCUUAUCCAAAAGAAUUUAUGAAAAAAAAAAAAAAAAUCUUUAUUAACAUUUUGCAGCACUUUUUGAAAUAAUUCUUGGACUUUGAAACUAUUUACAAAGAAUGCCACUAAAAUUUAUAAUUUAGUAAAAAUUUGAAAAACUAAUACUCCCUCUGUUUCAUUAUAAGUGAUGUUUUAGCCAAUUUUUUUUGUUUCAGUAUAAUUGAUGUUUCAAUUUCCUAUGCAAAAAUUUAACGUAUUUAAUAUUUUUUGACCAAUUAUAUUUUACAUCAUAUUUUCUUAUUGGUUGAACUCAAAGUAAUUAAUGAUGUUUUUAUGGAAAAUGGGUAAGUUAUAUGUUUUAUUAUUUAGUGUGUCAAAACCUUAAACAUCACUUAUAAUGAAACAGAGGGAGUAUUAAUCAUUUUUAAAAGAAUUCAUAAAUUCUCUCCCUAAAACACCAUUUCUUAUUCCCACCUUUUCUCAAAUAUUUCUCCAAAAUCUUCAUAUGAUCUUAUUUGUUUUUUAAUUUAUUUUAUUACAUAAAACAUAUGUAUAAUAAAAAUAUUUUUUUUGCAUAUACUGCAAUUUGAAUUUUUUAAAUUGACGUCUAUUACAAUUUUUUAUAGCAUAUGUACAACAUCCUGAAUGGAGUAGAACUUUUUUGAUAAUGGUUCACAAUCUUUAUAAAUAAGAUUAACCUUCCUACUACGAAUGCGGGGACUAUAAAUAUGGGUAUAAUUUAUUGGGGAUUAUAUGAUGGGGCGGGUUGUAAGACGAGAAUGGUUGUUAACUACAUAUAAAGUUUAAAAUAUUUAAAAUAUUUUAAAACUUUUUUAAAUUUUAAGUGUUAUUAAUAUUUUAACUCUACCCCAAGUUUAUACUAAAAUAUUAUUGACUUUGCCAUUUUUUUAAACAUGGAUUUAUUUUUUGGGUGAUUAUAUGACAAAAUGUACCGUGGGAUUAUACUUACAGCAUGUCCACUUACAAUUUGUAUUUUUAAAAUUUGUUUUACAUCAAUAUCAAAUUAUAAACACAUUGAAUUGUUUUAAUAUUGUUUGUUUUAUAACCAAAUUAAAAAUAUUAUAAGCAGACAAUUAUUUCCUAAAUAUACUCAUAAUAAUUGAUAUUUAUGUCCCAUAAAUAUAAGGGAAAAUUGGAAAUAAAGGAUAAAUAAUUAAAUUAUUGUCCAUCUAUGCAUCUAUAUUAACAUUUUUGAAGUACCUUUUGGAAAAUAACCUUUUUUUUUAUCAACAUAAUAAAUCCUUGCCAUUUAAAUAAAUAACAAACUUUUAAGAUAAAAUUUGUAAUUAAAUUACACCAGAAUCGCAAAAUUAGAAACUAAUAUUUAUUACAUUUAACAAAAUUUCCUAAAAUGUCUCCCUAAUAAAUUGAAUAUCUCUCCAAUAUCUUUAUAUGAUCUUAUUUGUUUUAAAAUUUAAAUCAUUACAUAUAUGUAUAAUGUCCCACAUCGGGUACAAAAUUUUAGACAAUGAAUCAGAACCAUUAUAAAUAUGACUAAUAUGUAACUUAAAAAACCAAAACCUUGAAUGAAAGAUUACAAAAAAAAAAUUACUAAAUUUUAGGGAAUCCAAAAUUUUAAAAUCUUGAUUGGAUAAAAAUGAGUUUUUUGGAAAACUAAAACCAAAAUCUCUCUCAAAAUCUAUAAACCAUUCAAGGUUUAUAUUUUACAUAAAUAUGAUUUAACGGGUUUGAGUUUUAUGUUUUUCUUACGGGUUAUCUUACAGGUUAACAUAACAAAAAAAAAUAACAAAUAUAACUUAAACAUAAUUUUUUUAGUCCCGCCAGUUACAGAACAAUAUCCCGCGAGUUAAGUAAUAAAAAUAACAAUCAAAAAUACAAUUACACAAUCUUAAACACUAAAAAGGUAAUAAAAUUAACAAAUAUAACUUAAAUAUAUAUAUUUUUUAGUCAAAACAAUCGUCCCGCGGUGUACCGCGGGUUAAAACCUAGUUCUAUAUUAAUGUUUGUUCAUUUAUGCUUUAAUAUAAUUAAAAUCCCAUUAUACCCUCAUAUUUUAAAAUCUUGCAAAACUAUUUAAAUUUUCGUAGGGCAUAUAUUUCUUAAAAAAAUCUUGCAAAACAUCAACAAUCAAGAUUAAUAAUUGUAUUCCAUUGGAAGAAAUAAAAAAUUGUAUUUCAUUAGAAGAUACAAUAAGCAUUUUCUAAGAAGUAAUUUACUAAUUUGACAUGAUAUAUGACAGUAGUUAAAAAUAUAUAUAUUAACAUUUUUGCAGCACUAUUUGAAAUAAAUCCUGGACUUUGAACUUAUUUACAAGGAAAAAAGAUACCUAAAUACACCAACUAUGAAACAAGGAAAAGUUCGGAUGUAUGGUCAUGCAUUGUAGCAUAUUGCGUGUAGGUAGGUAUCUUUUGUCCUAUUUACAGUGUCCUGCCACUGCAUUUAUUAUAUUAAACUUUUCUAUCAACAACUUAACAAAUAACAAAACAGAUACGACACCAAGCUUUGACUAUUUAAUUCUAAAAUCGUUUUGGUAAAUUCUAUUCUCCGUGAAUCUCUCUAUGCACAUUAUUCAAAAAUAAAAACUGUUAAUAUAUUUAUUAUACAUUGUAUAAUCCUAAAAAUAUCUGCAUAUUAUGCUAAUAAUCUAUAUUAACAUUUUAAAAUUUAUUUUAUUACAUAAAACAUAGUAUAAUAAAAAACAGUUUUUUGCAUAUAUUGCAAUUUGAAAAUUUUAAAAUGGACAUAUAUUAAAAAUUGUUUUAGCAUAUGUAUAACAUCCCAUAUCAAAUUUUUUUUUAUAAUGGUUCAAAAUCAUUAUAAAUAAGAUUAUAACAUUCCAACUACGACUAACGGGACUAUAAACAUGGGUUUAAUUUUUUGGGAAAUGUAUGUGGGAUGGGUUGUAAGACGGGAAUGAUUGGUAACUACAUAUAAACAGAAUCUUUAUAAAUAAGAUUAAAACAUUCAAAUUACGAAUAACGGGACUAUAAACAUGGUUUUAAUUUUUUGGGAAAUAUAUGACGAGAUGGGUUGUAAGACGGUAUGAUUGUUAACUACAUGUAAAGUUUAAAAUAUUUAAAAUAUUUUAAAAGUUUCAGUGUUAGUAAUAUUUUAGCUCUACACCAAGUUUAUACUAAAAUAUUAUUGACUUUGCUAUUUUUUAAAAGAUGGAUUUGUUGUUUUGGCGAUUAUAUGAUACUACGGGGUAUAACACGGGAAAUGUUGUAAUAUGCUUCCAACAUAUUAUAUGACGGAACGGGUUUAAGUUGAUAUUAUUUAAAAAAAUAUAUAUUAUUAAUCUCACAGUUGAAUACGUGUCAUUUUAACCGCGGGUUGAAAUCUAGUUAGUAUUAAACUUGAACAAAAGAAACGAAGAAGUAAAAACAAGUAUAAACUAAUAUUAGUAAGUCAAGUAAAGUAGUAGAAGUAGCUUUGAGUGGAUUAUUGAUUCUUCGGUGGCUUUAGUUUAUGUUGUGAGUGCUUAUUGUUGGAUAAUUUAUAAAACUAAAUGUGUGAUGGCUUGCUCCAAUUCGACUGACUCGUUUUCGUUAUGAACCAACGUUUUGCUACAAUACAAAUUUUCUAUUUUAAUAUAUGAAUUUAUGGUGAAGUGAAGUUAGUGUAGUGGUAAAUGUUAAAUCCAUGGACAUACACCAUUAUACAAGGAUCGAGAUAGACACCAUCAUACAAGGAUCGAGUCCUGGAGCCUAUAUAUUUAUAGGGAUUAGGUUAAUGGGUUGGCCAGUUGUGGCCUAAAUGUUGACAAAAUAAAAAAAAAUACAUGAAUUUAUGUCUUUUGCUUUGUUGCUUCGAUUGGACUACUUGUGCAAUGUGAAUCUAUAUUAUUAAAGCUGAAGUACCCAUUAAAUUUACACUAAAGUUUUUAAUUGAAAUAAAAUACACUUAAUCGGAUAUAUCAUUUUCGGAUCUUUGGGUAUGGAUAACGAUCAGAUAUUUCUCUAGCAGAUUAUAUCAUUUUCAUAUUUAGUUUUGAUUCUCCUAAAAUAUCUCUACCUAAUUUAAUAAUUAUUUUAAUAAUAUAUUUAAAAUAAUUAUUAUUCUCCUUUCUCAUUCUUAUGAUCCUGUUUAUAUUUUAUUUAUUUUAUUACAUUAAAAAUAUGAAUAAAUAAAAAAUAGAAUUUUUCCGCAUAUGUUGAAAUUGAUUUUUUUAAACGGACAUAUAUAUAUCUCAAUCGAUAAAACAAAAAAGGAUGUAAAACGUCCCAAAUCGGCUAUAAAAUUUUAGAAACUGGUUCAUAAUCAUUAUAAAUAGGACUGAUAUACUUCAACCUAUGAAUAAACAGGAAACUUGAUUUCUCAAGCGUCCAAAAUUUUAAAUUUUUAUUUGGUUUAAUUCAGUUCUUUAGUUGAGCAAAUUAAAAGUUUCAAAAAGUUUCAAAAUAUUAUAAUAUUUAAAUUUUUAAAAUUUUUAAAGUAUUAUGAAUAUUGAAACUUUAGAGUAUUUAGAUUUAAAUAUUUUAGGUGAAACAUCAAAUAUUAGUCUACUAAAUUUUUCUAAAGAUAUUUGUUUUAAAAAAAAUGUAUUCAAUUACACAAUAACAUACAAUCAAAUUAUACAUGUCAAAAUUCAAAAACAUAUAUGUAAUGUUCUUGAACUCAAAUAGGAUUUUAAACCGGAUUACCUACCGGGUCAUCGGGUCACUAGGCUAACCGGGUUCGUCAAUAGAUUAAAAGCUUUUAUUUAUUUUUAUAUAGAUUAUGCGGUUUUAUAAAUAGAAAAAUAAAAAAUAACCAUAUCAUGUUAAACAAAAUAUGUAGUCUAACAAUAAUAAUAAAUUGCUUAAUUUUUAAAAUUCAAAUAAAACCAAAAGAACACUAAUAAUACAUCAAUUUUAUGGUAACCAAUUUUAAUCGUAUGUAUUAUCGUUUGAGAAAGAAUACAAAUAUUAUUACUUCUAAGAUCUGGCUGGGCCAAUUGGUUCAUAUGGUCGUGGGUUAGCGACAAUUUUUAUUGUUUUUUUAGUUAUGAGAUUAUCGGUUAUUUCCAUUAAUCCGAAAACGGAAAAAUAUCCAGUAUCCGAGUCGUAGAUUAACCUGUCAAACCGACUAGUUAGUUCAGAAAUAAAAACAUAUGAUUUAUCAAAAAAUUACAAUAUGAGAAAUAGACACAAUCUAAUAUAUAUAUAUAUAUAUAUAUAUAUAUAUAUAUAAUUAUAAUUUAUAUAUUAACUUUUUGAACCGAUUGAACCGAUGUCAUUCGCGCAGUAGCACGGGUUAUCCUCUAGUUUUAAAAGAAAGCUUUAAAAUAGUUGAUUUGGUAAUCUGAUUGAUGCCUUAGUUUUGUGUUUGUCAUGUGUAUCAUUAGUUUUCAUUUCCUUUUUAUUAAAGAAAUUCUAAAUUAGGUAAAACAUAUUUUUAUAUAUAUAAUAUAGGAAAAAACGUUAGAAUAUGCAUUCUAAUAAGUUUAGAACAUGAAUAAAUGCUAGAAAAUAUACUCUAUUAUUUUUAGAACAAAGAGACAACUAUGGAAUAUGUAUUCUCAAUUGGUAACAGCUUGUCCGGUGGGAAAGUUGUUAAAAGGUGAGAUAUUGGGUUCGAGUAACGCCAAGUGUACCAAUAACCUACAUGUGGCCAAAGAGGAGUUGUUGGCUAUAUUGGACCCACAUAAAGGAGGUUAGGGUGGAUGCGCUGCAUCGCUUGUGGCGGGGUCCCACGGGAUGAGUUGUUAUAAGCAUCUUUAAACUUUUAAAACAUUUCAAAAUAAUAUAAUUAAAAGUUUCAAAUAUUAUAAUAUACAGAAAAUUAUAAGAGGUUCAAAUACAUAAAAUUUAAAGAAUAUUUAAAUAUUAUAACUUUUUUUUGGAGAGAGAGAUAAUUUUGCAACGGGUCAAAACAUGAUACAUGAUCACGUAAGUUUAACGAAUAUUUAAAUAUUCACUUGCUCGGUAAAUUUUUUUAUUUCUUAAAAAAAUAGUCUAUUCAUUUUAAACUUCAAAUUUAAUUUUGGGAAGUUUGUUAUGAUUUAGAAGUGGUAUGGAAAAAAUUUUAAGUUCAAGCCUCAAAUUUGAAAUAUCUAACGCCAAUCCAAAUGAUCUAACCUCAAAUUUGAAAUAUCUAACCCCAAUCCAAAAAUAUUUAACAUUCAUUUUUUACUUGAAAAACAAUCCAACUUUCAUCAAAAAUUUCACAAAAUUAAUCCAGAAAACAAUAUUAUAGUAUGUGCAUGUUUAAAUCCAAAAAUAUUUGCAGGUACUAAUAAACAUUUUAAUUUUUUUAUUCAUAUUUUCCUUCAAAUCUAAAUAAAAUCUAGUAUUUCUGGGAAACUGCAUUUGAAAUUAAGUAGAUCAAGAAAGGUAUGUAUCAUUUUAUCAACAAAAUAAAAAUAAAAAUAAAAAAGAAAUUCUCUGGAGAUUAAAUGACUAAAUCGAGAAUUUGAGGAAAGACAUUAAGAAAUACUUGCAUACGUAUUAAAAAACUUGAGAAAUUCUUGUGCAUUAAAAAUUCUCUUGAAAACUCUAUUGAGUUUGUAAUGAUGAAGCUUUUUUCCUAAGAAACGAUCGAAUCAAAGCUAUUUCAUAAGUUAAAAGUAAAAAAGGGGAAGUCAACUUGAGUCUCAAUUAUUUUUAUCCAUCUCUUAACCACUUAAAAUCCAAGAGGUUGAAAAUCAAAGCUGCAAAUUGCAGUUCUCUUGAUUCAAGUUUAUUAUUUGAUAAUUGAUAUUAAUAAAGCUUCAAACUAAAAUUAAGAAUUUGCAUUCUAAUUAUUUUUGAAUUUUAUUUAUUAAACUAUUUUAUGUCAAUUAACUUUAUGAAAGAGAGACACGCAUCUAUUUUACUAAAUUAAUUUUCAAACAAAAUCAUUAUGAUUAAUUUGAAUUAUAUUUAUAUUAAAUAAAGAAAAAAACUAUAAGUAGUCCCACGGUGUAGCGCGGGUUUGAUUUAGUUAACUAAUAAUGAUGACAGAAAAAUAAAAAUGUUUCUUGUUGUCUGUUUCUUUUAGUUAUAAUUUUGAUGUGCGUAAUUUGAUUUUUCCAUUAGAAUAAUGGUUUGUAAUGUUAAGAACACAUACACAAGAAAUUUAGGUGAUUAUUAAUGUUUAUAAUAAUAACUAGAAGAAAAUUUAAGUUAUUAUUAAAAGUUAUAAAAAAAAAUCUUGCGUACAAAAUAUUAACAAACAAAAAUAAUAACAAUUCUAACUUGGGAUAUUUUUACUAAUAACUUAACUACUUAUAUAUCACUAAACCAUAAAAAAAACAUUAUGAAGAAAAGGGCUGAAUUUUAUUUAUAAUAUGGAGGGCCACAAACUAAUGUUUCAUGAGCCUGGCCCAUGGGCAGGCUCUAAUUCUGCAACCAAUAACGCAAAAUAUCCACCUCUUUAAAUUCUGAAAAGCAAUCGGGUCUUCUGCCUUGCGCUGCAAGUUUGAGGUUUCUUCUCCAUAUAAUCCCCAAAUAUAUUAGAACUCCAGCAAGUAUGUGACAACAAAUUCAGGGUAAGUCUUUUAGAUAUUAGUGAACAUGCUAGCUAACUUGUUGAUUUAGAUGUUUCUGGUUAGGUUAAGACGGUGAUUCUUGAUAUUUUUUACUUUUUUCAGACUGUUGUGGUUUUAGUCGGCAACGAUGUGGAAGUUCACUUACGUGUUGAUUGGUUCUCCCGCUCUACACCUGUCUAGCGGUUGCUAGCGGGCGAUUGCGUUUGUUAGCGUUUGGUACCAAUCAUACAAAACGCUCUACACCGUUUGAAAUCGCUUGAAAUCGCUGGAUUUCAAAAGCUCCUCUCCGCAAGCGUUUGCGGUUGUCGGCGUUUGCGAUUGAUUUAAAAAAGGUAAGAAACUGAAAAAAGAAAAUCUGCAAAACAAAAUAUAUAUUAUCGAAUCUUACAUAUUUUCACAUUAAUUCUCAAAUAAUAAUUAUUCUCUAAAUUUAAUUUUCCAAUAUUAUCAAAUCUUAUAAAAUUUAUUUAUUUAACAUUUGAAUAAUUAUUUACUAUAUAUACUUAGUAAUAAUAAUGGUAUGUAAUUUUUAAUCAUAUUUAAAAUGUUUAUACUUUUACUUCAAUAAAUUUUAUUAUAAAAAAUCUAUUUUAAAUAAUUAUUCAGUAAUUUAUUUAUUGUUUUUAGCUAUUAAUCAUAUUCAUUUUUUCAAUAUAUUUUAUCAUAAUAAUAUAGUAUUAGUAUAUUUAUACAUUUUUAUAAUUAUAUUUAUAUUUAAUUUUGUAAUUUUUGAUGUAACUGCCAUUGCAGCCGCUGGUUAACCAGUAAUAAAACUCCCGCAAAUGCACCCAUUUUUAAAAGCUAAAUCAGUCGUUUAAAACGCUUAAUAACGCUUGAAACUGCAACCGCUCGCUUCCGCAAACUCCCGCAACCGCAACCGCAACCGCAACCGCUGCGUUUAAACCAGUCAGGCCCUUAGUUGCAAUGCGGACUAGGAAUCACAAUUUCCCCUGUUUCUGGGUGUUCAUUGUGGUCUUUACGAGUCAUGUUUGAAGAUGCUUAUGAAUCGAUGCUUAGCCAUCGUGUUUGAUCUUGAUGAAACUUUGGUUUUUGCAAAAUCUACGACCUUGUUUACAAAACAAAUUAAGAAUCUUGAAGCAAGCAUUCUAAAGGAGACUAAUCCAACCAAGAAACUGGCAUUGACAAAGGUUUUCUUUUUCUUACAAGUCUGGUUCAUGGAAGUAAAAGCAAAACCAGACUUUUUUUUUUUUAGCUUAGAAUACAAUCAGAUACCUUAAGAGCUCUGCAAAAUUUUCCUCAUCAUCUAACUUGUUGAGAAACAAAAUGCUAUCUUGAUCCGAGAUCAAUGAGAGUAUGAAGGAAAGUACAAUUAAACAUUUCUCUAUCAUAUUAAAGUUUCAACAUGUUUCCAUGGCUACUCAAUCCAGUUACCUGAAGAGAGUACUUACAAGUAAAGCCAACUCUACAACUCGAAUCUGAAGAGAUCACCAAUCAAAGAGCCAUAAUAUUUCCUAGAUAUUUGCAGAAAUGUAACUGCAAAUGAUGAUACAGAGACUUUGGUGAUGUUAGAACACAUACAAAAGUAAAAAAAAAAUCUUUUAGCACUCAAGAAUCGAUACAUUCAUCAAUAUUUUACUAAUUGUCUUCUACAAACAGAGUGACGAAUGCUUUUAGUAGUUACAAAAAACACAUGCAGUAUUGUAAAUAUAAUCAUUGCUCUGCUUUAGUCAUCUUUUGCCAUGUCCUAUACUGAUUGAUGUAGGAAAAUGUGUUGGAGUUGUGAAGGGUAUUAGGACUUCUCCCUCAUUUUGGCUCUGGCAAAUACAACUCCAGCGACUAGACCUGUAAUUCAGGCACCUCAGGUUAAUGCACAAAACAAAUGAUAUGUGUUUCUUCAAGAUGUUGGACAAGGGAACUGAUCAAGAGAUCGCUUACCAAAGAGUAUACUUGCUGAGUUCUGUAAACUGGUUGGUACAUUGAAAAGAACAAUCCCCGCAAUGGAUAAAGGUAUCUUGUUUAGCGAUCCCACCAGGCUGAAUUUUGAAUAAAAUGAAAAAUGUAUGUUUAGAAGGAAUAAACCACCAAUAAUGCAAGUAUGGAAAAGGGAUAUAUGGAAAAGACUGGGCAGAGCAACACUCUCCAAAGUAUAGUUUUGAAAUAGCAUGUUUUUCUAUCACUGUCUCUCCCUAAUUCGCUACCUGUAUGUUGUUGCUCCAGUUUGAUGAAGAAACCACAUUGAAGUGAAACUAAUGGCCAGUCCUAGAAGUCCACUAAGUGUCAUGACCAUCCAGAAACCUGGCAAUCGCAGAAGAGGCCUGCACAAAUAUAAUACGACAACCAUUUUGCUUUCAGAUGACACUAACCAUUUUCCAUUGACAGGAAAAAAGGACAGAACUCACGUUUGAUACAGAUAAUCCAUCUCGUUGAAAGAAAAAGAAAGCAGAAGCCCCAGUGGUAAUGAAAGUGUGUUAUUAAGCAAGACCAUGGAGAACUCGUUUAAGUUUCCCGAUUGAGUAACCUGCUUAGCUGUAUCCAUGGUCUUUCUCAAAGUUAGCUGCAAAACAAUAAUAUAGAAGCUAUUCAAAAGUAGUAGCAGAAUUUUCCAUGGCCUUGGUUUUUAUGGACAUGCAAUAAUGGAACCAAACACGUUCGUUUCUAAAUCACGAAAUGGUAUGAAAACCUUGUGUGAAGUUGAUGAUGUGAAUUCAUAAUCUUUCCCCAAAAUCUUAUCUCUACCAUGAUAUUCCUACUUUUUCAGUGAGUUAAAGUACUCAGCUCACUGAUGACAAUUGAUUGCAGUCUAUUAUAUUUUCUAAGGUACCAGAAUCUCAGAAUCUCAACAGUAUCUAUAAACUCAAAAUCAAGCCAGUAACGUGCUAGUAUAGUGAAGAAGAACCAUUUCGUUUAUUGACUUAGUCUUAAACAAACAACAUAUAAUGCUUGACAUGUAAGCAUGGUUAUUAAGUGCUAUCUUUCUCAUAUUUGUGUUUAUUGCUUCAAAAGACUCCAACAUUUUGAGAAAAGAAACCAAAACUGAUCAAAUGAUUACUCACAGAGUAUGAUGCAGUUAAGAAGCAAUUAGCAAUCUGCCAAGCAUAGCCAACAGCAUUGAAUGAUAGGUCUGUUAUCCCUCCAGAAACUGCAGAAAUUAUCUGCAAAUGAGGGCCGAAAGAAGCGCAGGCAAACAAAAUUUUAGCUCCUACUUAUUCAAGAUCUAUACUAUAAGAAAUACAAAAUACAUAAUAAUAAUGAGUAGCCGUGACAAAAAAACAUGAUCACAUUUCCUUGGUAGACUAAUUUUGGAAGCAGUAAAAGAAACAUAUAUCUCCAACAGUUUGAAAGGUUAGGCUAUGCCACAUCACUGAAGGCUUCUAGGAGGAUUGUAACUGUGCAAGCACACAAAAACUCUAGUUUAUAUGCUUUUUAUACGUAUCUUGGAAUAGGGUCCGUGGGAAUAGUUCUCUCAGGUAAAAGUACGGAAUCACUUUGAACUACUUUUAAAGCGUACCAACAUACCAUUAAGAAGAGAGCAGCCCACACUCUGUUGUCAUGUUGCUUGUUGAAUAGAUACAUCUCACCAACAGCAGUUAUCACAUUAGUGACAUUCUUCAGGACAGUGACCAUUGCUACAUUGAUGUACUUCAAACUGUCAAAGAAAAAUGCAUUUGAAAUUGAUAAUCAAGUUCAUUCUGUGCUUCAAAUGUCGUCUGCAUACUCAUAUAAGAUACAGAUAUAAAUCAUCCAUACUGUGGGGUAAAUCAAGAAUGUCUCAGUUUAGAAUGGAAAAACUAUAUGUUCCAGCUCAGUGUCUACAGGUUAUGCAAUCCUCCAUCUACUGUAAAGUUUAACUAUAGAGCUCAAAUAAAUGAAGUACAGUUUUGUAUAACUACCUCUAGUACUCCAAAAAGCAGUGGCUCUCCUACCAACUUUACUAACUUAGCAAUCUUCCAAUGGGCUUAAGGAUAAGAAACCAGAAAGAGAAGGCAGAUAGUAUACAUCUCAGAGUCUUUCCAGUUUCCCAUAUUUUGCAUGAAUAUGAAAUCUAUAAACCAAUAGAAACAAAGGUGUAGAACAUAUUCUUACCUAAACAUACUCGUAAUAAGCAUGCCAACAAAUAUCACAUUCACUGGAAACCAGACCUUCAUUAACUUCAAGGUCAGGGGUUCUGUAGUUAUUAGACCCAUUAAGUUCAAAACCACCACAAUGAUCACGGAGACGAAGUUCUGCAAUAUUCAACACAAAGGGGUAAGAAUAUGAAACAAAAACAUCUUUACAAAACAAAUUGCUGACAAAUUUUCAAUAGUUAUAUCACUACAAAAUGUGAUGCCACGGUUUUUGUUGAGCUAGGGAAAUCGAACGAGCGUACCUGGUAUAACAUUAAAAAUAUCCCAGCAUUGAAGUUGUAGCUGGAAAGGACAAACUUGUUCACAAGAAUCAUGCUGCAUGAUGAAAUGCAAUAAGCUAAACCCGAUAACAAAGCCCGAUUAUGUAUCUUUCUUUGCAAUGGUUUAUCUCCGGAUUUUCCUGUCUUCCCAUCUUCUAAAUCAACGACAUCGUGUUUCAUUGCAAGCUAGGACCUACCAGAGAGAAUAAUAACUAUCAAGCAUAUAACCAUGUGAACUUUAAGAUUUAAAGCUAACUGAGUAGAAAGCUUGCAAUAUGAGACAGGAGAAAUAGGAAAUAUAGAAUCACUCGGACUUCAGUAAUAGUCAUCAUCACAUCACAAGAUUAAUUUCCGCUAGCUUUUACCACAUCAAUAAUUCAAUGAAAAAUGGUGGUCGUUGUUCUAGUUCAAUAACCAAUAAGAUAGAUCCACCAUUGUUAACAAUACACAGAAUUCAGCACAAAGCGUAACAUUUUUUCAUUAACCAAUAUCAAGACAACUUUACUGGGAAAAGACUCAUAUGUUUACUUUAAACCAAUUCAGUUCCAGUUCGAAAGGCAAGCAGCUAAAAGGUGGCAGCUUGAUCUAAAAUAAUCGAAAACAUAACCAAAUCAUAUCCAAUUCGCAUCUACAUAGACAACACAAAGAAUGAAAAAUGAUUUAAAGUUCUUAUGGAGAAAUAAACGCAGUGUUGGGACUUGAGAUUCUAAAGGAACUUGGAAGACUAAUUAAGAAGCCAUUUUCAUGAAACUUACAGCUCAAAUCUCCAGUGGGUUGAAACUAGAAGUAACAAAACUCCAAAUCAACGAGAUGUCCCAAGGAAACCAAGAGAUACCCCAAAUGAAUAGAACCCUAGAGUAAAGAAGACAGUAAGUAUCAUCAGCUCCAAACUUGCAGAUCAAAAGAGGUCAAAACAAGUCACAGAAUCAACAAAGACUACUCUUUUAAGCAAGUUUCGAAUUUUGUGAAAGAUAAGAUGCAAAUGGAAGAAGUCGCUGACAUAGAACUUGGAGCAGGUCAAAGUUAAGAAACUUUAGAAUAAUAAACCCACCCAAGUUAAGAGUAAGCUUCACAAGCACAAAGAUCAAAUCUUUCGAAAUACCCAGAAGAUUCAGUAGCAGCAAGUAGAGAAAUUACCUCCAAGUAGAGAGAUUCAGCUUCGGAUCAGAAGUAACCAAAGACGAGAUCUGAUUGAACCCAAGUCACCGGAAUAAGAAAACACAAAUCAGAAGAAGAAGAAGAAGAAGAAGAAGAUGAUGAUGAUGAAACUUGCUCACAGAUGGUGAUGUCGCCACUGUGAAGAUGUUUGAAGAAACAAUACGGAAGAAAUUAAAGAAACUGGGAAACUGAAAAGACGAGGGAGAGAGAAGGCAUUGACCCAAGAAGAAAUUAAAAAACAAAAAAAAACAAAAAAAAUCCUAAAAAUUAUGGAUUCAGAGUUCAGAGUGACUUCAGACCAAUUUCGUUUAUUUAAGGGUUAUUUAAAAAGUUGUAAAAGUUAGAGGAAAUUCCAUUAUUGGAUCAAAUAUAUAUUCUCAGUGGGAAUUUCAAAAUUGACAAACUCCUCAACUAUUUUUAUUUUUUAUACAUUACUACUCAUUUCACACAUGCCUAUAAAAAUUAUGGAUUAAUUACCACAAAAAAUAAUAUGGAUUUAUUUUAUGGGGGAAUUUCAAAAAUAUCUUUUUCCAAUACCACUUUUUAAAAAUAUCCCUCUUUUUUACUUUAUCAAAAAAUUAUUAUAAAAUUAGAAAUUUAUAAAAAAAACAUAUGUGUAAGCUUAUAUUUCUAGACACAAAUUAUUUUUAUAUGUGUGUAAAUUUAUAUAUUUCAUAAAUACCGUAUAAAUACCUUUUAAAAACUUUUUAAAAAUCAUUUAAAAACUUUAUAAAAAGUGUGUAAACCUUUUAAAAACCUUAUAAAAACCUUAUAAAUGAUGUUUAGAACCUUUUAAAACCUUAUAAAUAUUUGGACUUAGUCUCCCAGUAGUAAUGAUGAUCUUGAUGUACCUUAUCAACCAUAUAAAAGUUUAUAAUUUUUCAUAUUUGAAAAAUGGUAUUUUUAAAAAUGGAUAGAAAAGAGGGAUAUUUUUUAAAAGGGGUACACCAAAAGGGUAUCUCUCAAAAAUUCUCCUUAUUUUAUUUAAAUUUGUCCCAAAAUAAAAAAACACCUUUUUAUCUGUAAAAAGAAAUAAAAUUGAUCAAUUUUGUAUAUGAAUUUAUUUUCAUACAAAUAUAACAUAUUUAUCAAAUUUGAUAAAAAAAAUUAGCUACAAUUUAAUAUUAAAACUAACAUAGAUGUAGAUGUAGGUGUAAUAUGUAAUCUCUUUAGAUGUAGAACUAACAUAUUGUUCUCUUAAUUAGUUUACAGUUGUUACACUAUUCUCUUAUAAAUUGACAAGAUAUCAUAAUGGAAACUUAAUUAUUUUUGCACUUUGAAAAUUUAAAUUCCAUAAUACUAUUUGCUAAAAUAAAUUUUAUAUAAUAUAUAUUUGCUAAAGUAAUAGUUCAUGGUAGAUAGCUUAUAAUUAAAAAAAAAAAUUGUAUAAACAAAUAUGUAUAGCUUAUAAUAAUAUUUUUUUUAUAAAAACACUUAUAAGUGUGGUACCAUAUGGUUCAAAACAGAAAAUUUUGUCAAUCUAUGCAAAUCUUACACACACAAGAAAAAACAAAAAAAGGUGAUACAAGUGGGUUAGAAGAAUUUUGAUUCUUACAAACGUUUGACCACAAUAAAUACUUACCACUUGUUACUUUGUUAGUGGAGGAAGAGGGAAAAGAGAUAACUACACUGUUGUUUGUCUCUAAAAAAACUUGGCAAUUUUGACACCAAAAACAAAGGCCAUAAAUUGUGGCCACAAACGCACAUAUGUUACCGAUCGACCAAAUUUUCUUCUUAUUAGCGUUUUUUGAAAAAAAAUUGCGAAAUUAACCAACAUAUAUAAAUUUGAAACAUUUUUUAAAACAUAAGUAGUAUUUACCUAACGGUCCAAAAACAUCGCAAACUGCACUUGUCUCGCAAAUUUAUUUUUUCUAAAUAUUACAGUUAAACCGUACCGCAUAUUAAAACCGCUUUUCCGCAUUGUUAAAUACGAUGUACCCAAAAUUCGGCAAAUAAUGGUCUUUGCCUCGUACCAUACCGUUGACCUUCUUGGUUAAUAGUGUAAUACUAUCCCACUCGAAAUUAUUGGUAGGCUCUCUAUUUUGACUCCUUGAUGCAGUCGUCCACUUCUACAAUCCAAUAGCCAUAUCUGCCCAAGUCUACACGAACAUUGAGAUUAAUCAAAGAUAAAAAAAAAAAAUCAAAUCUUUAGCUCAAAAUAACAUCUUAGAAACGUUAUCCAAAAGUGUAAAGACAAAAUCAAAAAAAAAUAUUCACACUGUAAAGCCAACAAUAUUGAUCAUGUUGAUUGUUGAUCUUGAGUGGUUAAAUAACAUCUUUGUUAACAAACAACACCACUUAUCUUUACUAUUCACUUUCGGAAACUAAUUAUUAAUUAUUUAGUUAAGAAAAAUCUUCAUUGAACUAUGCAUACGUAUGUACGAGUACGACCGACCAAGCUUCACCCCCCCCCCCCCCCCCUUAAACUCGAAAUUGAAUAUAAGUAAUCUUAUUUGAUUUGGCUUUUAUAGUUUGUUAGGAAGCAACAAAUCAGUAUGAUAUAAUAAAAUAAAAACAAAUCACCAUUUAUCAUAUUAGUUUUUGAAAUAUUUCCUUAACGAAACUAUAAUAAUUAAUUAUGACUGUUAUAGAUGAAAAUAUUAAAAAACCAAAAUUGUAUAUAUGUAAACUAAUAUUAAUUUGAUUAAAUAUAUGUAGAUACAGAAAAAGUGUAUAUAAAACGUCCCACAUCGGGAUCACGAGUUCACUACUGAUUGGAACCAAUUGUUACGGCUUCUCACCGAUCUCAGCCAUGAAAGAAUAAGUUUUUUCACAUUAAAGUACACCUUUCAAACUACUCUCUAUCAUAUUUGGCAAGAACGGAACAAAUGACGUCAUGGAGAUAGCCCUUGCACACAAUCUCUUCUUCUUAGGAAUAUUGACAAGAACAUCCGCAAUAAAUUCAGCUCAAUUCUUAACCAAGGAGACUACUCUCUUACAAUGAGGGGCUAGCCUACUGGUUUCCUACUCGUCCUCCUCCGCAUUGAUUGUUCUUGUUUUUGAGUUUUCACAGUUGGAGUUACAUCUCAAUUUCUUUUGAUCUCAUGUUUCAAAUUCAAGUACACAGUUAUUGUAAAUAGUUUUUUUUUUGUUCGAAUAAGUUUUACAUUCAAAUAAAAAAAAACGUCCCAAAUUGGGUAAUUUUUUUGGACAAUGUUUUAGAAUCAAUAUAAAUGAGACUAAUAACAUUCUUCUAACUAUCAAUGACCAAGAAGCUUAAUUUAUCAUACACUUUAAAAAAUUUAAAUUUAUUCGGGUUUAAUAUAUUUGAGCAUAUUUAAUCAUAAUAUUAUAAAUAUUGAAACUCUUAAAAGGUUUUUUUUUCUUUUGACAUCAUUACCAAUAAUAAGUCUCUCUUUGAGAGGGACCGAGCUCGAGCUCGGAUCUGGUGAGAAGGCAAACAGAGUUGAGAACCACUAGCUCACUUGAUCAUUCUCACUCUUAAAAGGUUUAAAUAUUAUAAAUGUUUAAAUUUUAUAGAAUAUUAUUAUAAAUAUUUAAUCUUCACUCUUAAAAGGUUUAAAUAUUAUAAAUGUUUAAAUUUUAUAGAAUAUUAUUAUAAAUAUUUAAUCUUUAUAGUCUGUUUAAAAUAUUUGAGCAUUUAAACUUCACAUAAAUUUUAAAAUACUAUAAAUAUUUAAAAUCUAAAAAACUUGAGGUAUCAAUAAUAUUCUAACUACCAAAAAGUUUAAAAUAUAUAAAAAGUUUAAACUAUUAUUAAUAUAACUCUAUAGAAUUUAAAUAUAAAAAUGGAAGUUAUAUUUAACUAAGUGUCAAUAAUAUUAUGUUGGUCACGACGAUCAAUAAGGGAAGCAGCAGCAAGGAGACGCCAUCCUUAAAGAUAAAUAAUAGGGUUUCUUAGUUUAAUUUGAUUAAACAAGGAUUUAUCUAAACUAAAAUUAAUUGAAACUUUUUUUUACUUUAAUUAAUAAAUCGACCAACUUAGUAAACUAACCUGAAUAAACUGAUUUCAAUCCAAUUCUUGAUACAAACUCAAGUUUUUCAUUAUUUCCUAGGACACGGUCGUACAAUAUCAUACAAGUAAUGAGACAUAUAGUAAAAACUAGCUUGUUCACAAACCGAAACAAAACAAUGUAGAUUUAUUUAUUUAUUUUAUGGACCUCUUGUGUUUUUGUUUUUUCUUAUUGAUUUGUACGGCGACUAGAAAUCACUUAUAUUGAUACUGUUAAUUAGUCAUCCAUCCAUUUUAAUAAAUCAGAGAAAACCAUACAUUUCCAUUGUACUAAGUAUGCUUUAGGGAUUAUACUUGUUUCCAUUUGAUUGCCUCCUGAGUUCAAGCAUUCACGUACGAUUUGUUUAUUCACUGGCAUUGUGUCGUUUGCAAGAGAUGUAAAACCUCAUGUUGGUAUAGCGCUCAAUGCUCCUAUGCCAAUUCAAUUUGAGAUGCAAAAUAUUUUUUAAUUAGUAUAAAUAUUACAACCAUCAACUACCAAAUACUUCUUAUCAAUGUAGACCAAAUAAUCACAUGAGAGAAAAUCUGCUUUGAUAGCUUAAGCAACUGGUAUAUUUGAUUUUUUUUUCUAAUCACCCACACAUAUAGAAAUGCUUUGAUGAAUAAAUCCUCACAAUAGUAAAAAACAUAACUCCAUAACACAAUAUAUUUUAACAUGAUUAUGAAAAAUCAUCAUAUGACAGAGAGUUAAAUUUAUAUGAUCAAGUUUUAACUUUACAUAAAAAAUUGUAGAUAAACUUGAUUUAAAUAAAUCCAUAGUUGAGACUUACACAUCAUAUGAUAUUAACUUAGUUUUUUCCCAUUGCAUUUGUCAUAACUAUCUUCAUUUCUUUUUAUAUAAUGAUAAACGUUGAUUCUUAAUUGAAUAAGUGGUACGAUUAUUGUGUAGAAACUCUUAUAUUUUAUCACUAAAACUUAAUUCUAAACAUAUUACUUACUGCCAAAACAAAUCUUGUGCAUUUUCUUAUCACCAUUUGCCAUUUUUGGCGAUACAAAAGAAUAAGAAUUUGUGAUAGAAUGUGAACAAAAAUCUUAAAGAUAUAUAUAUAUAUAUAUAUAUAUAUAUAUAUAAGAAUGGAAUAUUCAUGGUCGAGAUGAACUCCACAUAAAUCAUUCUCUUCGGCUCGGGAUCCAACUUAGAUGCUCGAGAAGCAAGAGCGUCCACUGAAGUAGUUUGGCUCCGUGGAAUUUUUAUUACCUCGAAUUUAUAAGGUUUUUUAACUUCCUUUUUGUGAAUUCUAAGCACGCUUCCAUUCGGGAAUCCUUAACCUCAUACUCUCCAUUAAAUUGAUUAACCACGAGCUAAGAGUCACAAUAGGCUAUCACAUCUCGAGCUACGAUGGCAAUAGCCAACGACUAAACGCAAACCAAUAAUUAACGCUUUGUACUCAACUUUGUUGUUUGUAGCCGAGAACCGUAGGUGGAAAGAUUGUUCUAUAAAUUUUUCACGGUAGUGUGUCGAGUCAAACACCUAUUCAUGAACCUUGUUUUAAUUAGGAACCAUCAACAUGUAGCUUCCAUGUUGCGUACACUAGGUGAUAGUUCGGUUAAAAAGUCGGCUAUUACUUGGGCCUUCGCUCUAGUUUUUCCUUUAUACACUAGGUUAUACUUGCUAAGAUCUAUCACACACUUCCCUAAUCUUCUGGACUUGCUGGGACCGUGUAAUAUUGACCGGAGUGGUUGAAUUGUCAACACUUCUAUUAGGUGCAACUGGAGAUAAAGAUAAACAUUUCGGACUGACACCACCACGACGAGAGCUAAUUUUUUCAUACUAGUGUACCUAGUUUCUGGACUUGUCAUACUCUUGCUGACAUAGUAGAUUGGUCGCUACUUUCCCUGGUAUUCUCUUACAUUUACGUCGCUAAUGCAUUCUUCGACAUGGUCACACGGAUACGUAGAAAUAUAAAGUUUCUCCUAUCUAUGGUUUUGACAAGAUCAGCGGAUUGGUGAGGUAUUUUUUUUCAGUUGUUUGAAUGCAUCAUUGCACUUUUUAGCAACUAGUAGAAAGAAAGACACUUGUCUGUAGAUCGGAAGAUGAUCAUAUAGAGAGUUGUGAUCAUGCCCAUAAGACGACGUACCUCAGAGUUGACAUUGUUAAGAAAGCAUUUACCUGACUAGAAUUUACUUUUAUGUAUGUACAAUGCGUAAUUACAAAUAUUUGUUAAAAUUAAUUUAUACUCAAAAAAUGAAAAUUAGACCCUUUUUCUGGUCACCAAAACAGGAAAUGGAUAAUAUAUACUAUAUCUCAUCAAAAUCUGACAAUUAAUUGGUUGAUAUAGUUCAAGAGAUUGGGUAAUAAUAAUAUAGAAAUAUAAUUGUUUGAAUUGAAUUAGUUUUAGACAUCACAUAAUUCUUUCUAUUCUUUUUCCAUCAUCAUAUAAUUCUUUCUAAAUUGGGUCUGAUUGUAUUAGUAUCCCAGUCUCCCUUACUUGUUAAUUCAUUCUUCAAACAAUGUCUAUUUUGGUCAAUAUAAACUCAUGCAUGCAUAAACAUAAUCAACCAAAAUUGAGAAAUUGACCCAAAUAAUGAACUAUAUUUAUUAAAUUAAAUAUAAAAAAAACAACAAUUCGUUAAUUAAAUCCGUUAAUGGUUACAAAUUUAAAUUAACACCACACUCUCUGUAUAAUAAAACUCCUCAAAACUUGGAAAAAUAUAACAGAAGAAAUUGGAGAAAGAUACGGAGGUCCAUUUAUGAGAGACACACCAUCGCUAUUUUAUCAACCUCUCUUACUUCGCCACGUGUCAUCUCUUCUCUAACUGAAAAUAUUCUCCCAUUUCCCUCUUAAACCCGUAAUACAACACUUUUCCCCCAUUUUUGAUUUCUCUCUCUCUUUUGUUCUUCUUCUUCAUCUUCAUCUUCUUCCUCUCGCCAUUUUUUUUUUUUUGUAAUUUUCUCUCUCUGUGUGUUAUGUUCAUCCCCGACGCGAAAUUGAGUCACCUCGUCUCUGCUUCAGGUGAAAUCGUCGUUCGAUUUUAUCUUAAUCUCCAUGUUUUGUAUCCUUCGAUUACACUCUCACGAUUCGUUUCUUCAAUUUCUUCAGGGAAGGGGAUUUAGAAGCUCUUCGCAUCUAACGUGAGUUCGCUUGUUUUUUUUUUUACGUCGAUUUAGCUUCCGUGAGAAAUGUGAUGAGAAACAUUGAAUCGGUGUUUUAUUUUCGUUUUCAUUAUCUUCUUCUUCGUCGCAUGAGCUCUUGAUUUUGAUUUUUUGUCGUCGUUGCUGAUUUUGAGGUUGUUUAGUGUGUUCCUUACGAUUCCGAUUUGAGUUCCCGUGAAAUUGUUUGCGGAAUUUGGUAUCUGGCUCUUCCGUGUUCGUCUUCUUCUCGAUUUCAGUUUCCGUCGCUUGAUCGAGCUCCGUUUUUGAUUGUUCAUGUAUUUACGGAGCUGUGUGUGUUUGAGAGAACGUGUAAUUUCAACGUAGCAGCUUAAUCUCUUGACAAAAUUUGCUGUUUUUGGUUUAUUAAAUCCUUUGUAUCGUUGUUUCUAUUUGUUGUUUUGUUGAUUAGAAUCGUUGUGAUUGAAUGUUUCGUAACAGGGAGAGAGAUGGCACAGAGUAGUACAUCUCAUGACUCUGGCCCUCAGGGGCUUAUGAGGCGGCCAUCUCGUAGUGCUGCCACAACAGUGUCUAUUGAAGUUUUUGAUCAUGAGGUGGUUCCGGCCUCCCUUGGUACCAUUGCACCUAUUCUACGUGUUGCUGCAGAGAUUGAACAUGAGCGCCCCCGUGUUGCCUAUCUCUGUAUGAUUAUUUUGCGUUUCCUUAUUUGAUUGCUUCUAGUAAUAAAUCUGAACUACUUCAGUUUAUGUCACUCACUUUAAUUUUCAUGUGCUUGUGUGAAGGUCGAUUUUAUGCAUUUGAGAAAGCUCAUAGGCUGGAUGCAAGCUCUAGUGGAAGAGGUGUGAGGCAGUUCAAGACACUUCUGUUUCAAAGAUUAGAAAGGGUAAUCAUCUCUUACUAUUCCAUUCGCACAGUAUAUAGCAAUUCAUUAGAACUUUUAAAUCAGGCUUUUAUCAUCUAAACCCCCAACAUAGAUAGAUAGCCAGAGUUAAGAUGAACCCAUCUGUAGCUUUCUUGAUAUUCUGUGUAGUAGUUUUCACAAAGGAUGUUUUCAAAUUCCAGUUUAAAAAGUCAUCAUCUCAGGCCUUCACCUUAUGAUACAGUCUGCUACUUGAAAAGUUCCUUUAUUCACAAGAUCUACUUUGCAAAUUACUCAUAAAUGGGGGCUACAGAGUAGAAUUUGUUUAACACUUUUGAGAUUAUCCAUUUGAAAUGAUACAGAUAAUGACAUUUUCUUCUAGCAUGAGUAGAUAUAAUAACAAAUUUUUAUGACACAGGACAAUGCGUCAAGUCUUGCUUCUAGGGUGAAGAAAACUGAUGGGCGGGAAGUUGAGAGCUUCUAUCAACAAUAUUAUGAGCACUAUGUCAGGGCACUUGACCAAGGAGAUCAAGCAGACAGGUAAAGAUGGUUGUUGUGUGUGGGGCUUUGAAGAUAAAAGAAGUAGUGUUCUUAUUCUGACGGAUUUUCUGAACCAUCAUCUUGCAGAGCUCAGCUUGGUAAAGCAUACCAGACGGCUGGAGUGCUCUUUGAAGUGCUUAUGGCAGUUAACAAGAGCGAGAAAGUGGAAGCAGUAGCUCCUGAGGUUUGUGUCCAAAUUCUAUUUCUUCAGAGCAACCAGGACAGCUAUAAAAGAUUCAUUAAUGAUUACAUUACCGAGAUGGGAGUUUAAAACGUUUCCAUAUGUGUUUCUGUGUAGAUUAUUGCAGCUGCUAGAGAUGUCCAAGAAAAGAAUGAAAUUUAUGCACCGUACAACAUUCUUCCACUAGAUUCUGCUGGCGCUUCGCAGUCCGUUAUGCAGCUUGAGGAGGUAUUUAUUAUCUGAAUGAUUCUCCCAAUGUUUUAAUCCAAUGGCCGCUGAAUUUUCAUAUCUGCCUUCUUAUACCUCUAACGCUGUUUGAUGACUAGAUCAAAGCCGCUGUAGCUGCCUUGGGUAACACUCGUGGAUUGAACUGGCCAUCUGGAUUUGAGCAGCACCGAAAGAAAACUGGAAACCUGGAUCUUCUUGACUGGUUAAGAGCUAUGUUCGGAUUUCAGGCAAGAUGGUGAUCUAAAAAGUGUAACAAGAAGAUAUGAUGUACUGAUGUUAAAGCAGUGAGACAUAUUUCUUACCACUUAUCUCUUUGGUUUUUACAGAGAGACAAUGUCAGAAACCAGAGGGAACAUCUGGUUUGUUUACUUGCUGAUAAUCACAUAAGGUUGACUCCCAAGCCAGAACCUCUGAACAAGGUACCAUUGAUAGUUCCAUCCGUUCACCUAUAGAGCAUUUUUUCAUGUGCUUUGAGAACCACCGGUACUAUUGUGAUGAUUAGAGUGCAUAAUUAAAAGCUUUGAGUACGGUCUGAUUAAAGUUCAUCGACCUUAAUUGUGAACAACACCAUAGACUGGUUAUUCAUUUAUAUCAAGGGGUUUCUUUUCCAGGUCCCUGAAAACAGAAUUAUCCUAUGCAAAUAGAAAAACUUUUAAUAGCUCUAUCUAACUAAUCUAUAUAUGCAGCUCGAUGACAGAGCCGUUGAUGCCGUCAUGACAAAGCUCUUUAAGAACUACAAGAACUGGUGCAAAUUUUUAGGACGUAAACAUAGUUUAAGGUAGCUGGCAACAUUUUCUUUUUAAAAUGCCUUGGAUGGGAAAUGUUUUUGAAUGAUGUUCAUAUUGUAAUCAAGAUUCACUCUGUUUUUAUGAUAAGGCUUCCUCAAGCUGCUCAAGAUAUACAACAGAGGAAGAUACUAUAUAUGGGCUUGUAUCUUCUCAUCUGGGGUGAAGCUGCAAAUAUUCGCUUCAUGCCAGAAUGCUUAUGCUAUAUUUUCCACAAUGUCAGUGAUUCUCUUCAUUUACCUUUUUUAAUUCCUUUUUGUUUCCCUUUUCUCUGGCGUAAAAAUUAACUAUAUCUCUUGGUUAUGCUCAGAUGGCUUAUGAACUCCAUGGUCUCUUGGCUGGAAAUGUCAGCAUUGUUACUGGAGAAAAUAUUAAGCCUUCUUACGGUGGAGAUGAUGAGGCAUUUCUACGGAAGGUCAUUACACCAAUCUACCGUGUAAUUCAAAAGGUACAUGUUUGACUGAUAGGUCGAUGACAUUUUAAGAAUUUUUGACAUUGUAUACACCACAGCUAACUUUUUUAUGAACUAGGAAGCAAAUACGAAUGCGAAUGGCAAGGCUGCUCACUCAGAUUGGUCCAACUAUGAUGAUCUGAACGAAUAUUUUUGGUAAUUUUGACCUCAAGUCUGUAAAUUGAACGUUGAGUUGGUGAGGACACCAAAAAUUUAUUAUUUUUGCAUCACUGUUAUGUAGGACUCCUGAUUGCUUCUCUCUUGGCUGGCCAAUGCGUGAUGAUGGAGAUCUUUUCAAAUCAACCCGUGAUAUGACACAGGUAGUCUCUUUUAGUUUUCCUUAGCUGUUUCCCUUCCCCCAUUGAUCUAAUCAGUACUUCGAUUUUAUAUUUAUUGAUAGGGGAAAAAGGGAUCGAUAAGAAAAGCAGGAAGUACAGGAAAAUCAAAUUUCACUGAAACUCGAACAUUUUGGCACAUAUAUCAUAGUUUUGACAGACUGUGGACAUUCUAUUUAUUAGCACUCCAAGUAAGCAAUCUGGCCAAGCUAUAGCAUGAUUCCUCAUAACAUGAGUCAGUCAAUAUGACAUUUGGACUUUUCAAUAUAGGCAAUGAUCAUUCUUGCAUUUGAACGAGUGGAACUGAAGGAAAUCUUACGCAAGGAUGUUCUAUAUAAUCUAUCCAGUAUCUUCAUUACCGCGGCUUUCCUACGCUUCCUUCAAAGUAUGGCACUUCAACGCUGUGAUUUUUUUUCCAAUUUUUUAUAUGGAGUUUCUUUGUGCUCAUCAUUUGGUUACGUUUCUUGAUAAUAAAGGUUACCUUGUUUUUUGCUUUUAUGCUAGGUGUCCUGGACGUUAUCUUAAACUUUCCAGGUUUCCACAGGUGGAAAUUUACUGAGGUUUUGAGAAAUAUUCUCAAGAUCAUUGUCAGUCUCGCUUGGUGUGUCGUAUUACCCCUCUGCUAUGCUCAGUCUGUCUCUUUUGCUCCUGGGAAGCUGAAACAAUGGCUAUCAUUUCUUCCACAAGUUAAAGGCGUUCCUCCGCUUUAUAUCAUGGCUGUAGCAUUGUACUUGCUUCCAAAUGUACUGGCAGCUAUCAUGUUCAUUUUUCCAAUGCUUCGACGCUGGAUCGAGAAUUCAGACUGGCAUAUAUUCAGAUUGCUCUUGUGGUGGUCACAGGUAUGAAGGCUGGGCUUUAUUUUCCCCUCUCUUCUAUUCCUCCUGCAUGAAAAUUCCAAUUUAUUUAGUCAGCAAAACCCUUAGGCAUUUUAAAAGACCUCUGAAUUACGAUUGUUAAGACUAUCUGCAACUGAGAAUCAUUAUUCUUGUAUUGCUGGUUAGUUUUAUAUAUAUGUCAAGAGGAAAUAUUGAAUUUUUAUUGUCUAUAUCAAUGUUUAAUUAAGUUUUUGAUUUCGGCUUAUGCUCAGGGGGUAUAUUACAUGUUGUUUGGAUAAUUUACUGAUGUGGAUGUCCCAUGUUUAUCCUUUUCAGCCAAGAAUUUAUGUUGGAAGAGGGAUGCAUGAAAGUCAAAUUGCACUCAUUAAGUGAGUAUAUUGAGUCAAAUAAGUUCUGCUGAAAAAUUGAUCGCACAUAAUGCUUAUAGAAUAUUUUUUGCUAACAUGUUUCUUGAAAUUUCCAGGUAUACGAUUUUCUGGCUGUUGCUUUUCUGUUGUAAAUUUGCAUUCAGCUACUUUCUACAGGUUUGACACUGUAUAACGUUAUGUGACCUGAUUUUGGACUAUCAUAAUCGUACUCACCUUCAGGCUUCAAUACCGCUCUUUGUGUCCUCUCCCAGGUGAAACUUUUGGUGAAGCCAACUAACGCAAUUAUGAGCAUUCGCCAUGUAAAAUACAAAUGGCAUGAGUUUUUCCCCAAUGGUAAUUUUGCCAUUCGUUCGGAACUAUAUUUUUCGACUUUGGUGUUAGUAUUUUGGGUAAGCUAAAUGUUUCGACUCGCCAUGCAGCUGAGCACAACUAUGGAGCAGUGGUAUCCCUCUGGCUACCAGUUAUUCUGGUAAGUUUUUCUUAACCGCAUGUCUAAAUGAUGAGAUAGCAAGUUUAUGGGUGUCUCAUGUUCCUCACUUUUUCUCAGGUGUAUUUUAUGGACACCCAAAUUUGGUAUGCUAUAUUCUCCACUAUAUGUGGUGGUGUCAUUGGGGCCUUUGAUCGUUUGGGAGAGGUAGUUUUUUCUGGAUCCAUUCUACUCACUUCUCUUACCCCGGAUAUCAAAUAGUGUUUGAGAUGCUUCUUUUACAUUGCUCAUAUGUGUUACUACUCUCUCGAUUAACAUACUUGCAUUAGGGUCUUCUUACUAUUUUUAGUUAGUAUACAAUUUUCUCCUUAAUAUUACUGUUUUUAGUGUAAUCCAAAGGGUUCAGUAAACUAGUAUCGCUUCUAAAUAGUUGUUUUCUAGUUUCCAAAGGUAGCUAUGAUAGAUCCUCUAUAAGAAGUGUUUUUGACUUUCAUUCAAACGCAUAUCUGCUUGUGAGAAUUAAUUAGAUGUCACAGACGCAACUAUGGAAAUUGAUGCAACGUCAUUAAAAUAUUUUAAAACAUAAGCUCAUUUCUGUUUGUCUUCCAGAUACGGACACUUGGAAUGCUAAGGUCAAGGUUUCAAUCAUUACCUGGAGCAUUUAAUACGUACCUUGUUCCUUCUGAUAAAACAAGGAGAAGAGGGUUUUCCUUGUCAAAAAGAUUUGCAGAGGUUACACACGACUGUUGCUCUUUUGUGUCUACAAAGUGAUUGUUGAAAGAAUGUUGUCAUACAUCUACUAAAUAAUAUUUUUGUGUAGGUCACUGCUGCAAGAAGAACUGAAGCGGCAAAAUUUUCCCAACUAUGGAAUGAAAUAAUUUGCAGCUUCCGUGAGGAAGAUCUCAUCAGUGACAGGUAACAACUUAGGUAUUAUACUACCUUCUUUAUAAAUCCCAAAUUUUCUGUUUCUUAAAACCAACUGUUUGUCCAGGGAAAUGGAUCUGUUGCUUGUUCCUUAUACUUCAGACCCUAGUUUGAAACUAAUUCAGUGGCCACCGUUUUUGCUUGCAAGCAAGGUUUGUGAUCCUUCUUUCUUGCCAUCACAAAUACCCUUUCUUCUUCUUUUUAUUGAUAAAGUUCUCAUCUUGUUACAGAUACCGAUAGCAUUGGAUAUGGCAGCUCAAUUUCGAACAAGAGAUUCUGACCUUUGGAAGCGCAUAUGCGCAGACGAAUACAUGAAAUGUGCUGUCAUUGAAUGCUACGAAUCAUUCAAACAUGUCUUGCACACCUUGGUAAUUGGGGAGAAUGAGAAAAGGUAUUUCCUCAUUCAUUAUAAAAGUUCUUAAUUCAUUAAAAUCUAAAAGGAUACCCUUACUCCAACAUUCCUCUUCCAUUCAAGCUACUGGCUGUCUAAUUAGUUCUGAUCAUAGAUGUUCUAUACCUUGUCUCCACUUUAUUAGCUGAUGUAGUGUAGUAAAAUUUCUCCUCCUUAGUCUUUAUGCAUUUACGGCAUUUAUACGUGCAUCAACAUUCCUCUGUUUGAUGAUAAAAAAGUUUAUUUAUUCUUUCACAAUAUAUGUGCUUCAACCUGCAAUUUCAGUCCCUUAUUGAGUUCUAGAAUUUAUUUAAAUGAUACUAAGAAAAGAUACAAUCCACAGGAUUAUUGGUAUCAUCAUCAAAGAGGUGGAGAGCAACAUAUCAAAGAAUACCUUCCUUACGAAUUUCAGAAUGGCGCCUUUACCUGCUCUUUGUAGUAAAUUUGUCGAGCUUGUCGGAAUCUUGGUGAGUGAAUCACAUCCUUGUUUAAUUAUUGGUAUUGAUUUAAGACUAUCCGUGGUAGUGGAUAGUUUUUUAUGCCACUUUCAGUAUGAAUUCAUGUUUUGAUGGAAAGGAUAAUACUUGCGAAGCUAAUUUAUCUGGGAAACAAAAUAAUUAUGUCUAACUUAUGAUGCUGCAGAAAAAUGCGGACCCAUCCAAAAGAGACACAGUGGUGCUGUUGUUGCAAGAUAUGUUGGAAGUAGUGACUCGAGAUAUGAUGCAAAAUGAAAACCGGUUAGUGUGCUAUUUUUCAUAGUUAGAGAACUAGAGAAUUCUUCUUAGUUUCUAUGUGAAUAUGCAUGUAUAUAGUAUACAUACAAAGAAGAAUAAACAUGGGUGGCACCUUUUUCCAGUGAAUUGGUUGAACUUGGGCACACUAACAAGGAGUCUGGAAGGCAACUCUUUGCUGGAACUGACGCAAAACCUGCUAUUCUGUUUCCUCCAGUGGCAACAGCUCAAUGGGAUGAACAGGUAAAAAUAUCAAAAACUAAAAUAUAAGGCUGUUAGGAAUAAUCUUUAUAAACAUUUUCAACAUUAUUAUUUAAUUCAUUGUUGUAGAUAAGUCGCCUUCAUUUACUUUUGACGGUAAAAGAGUCUGCAAUGGAUGUUCCGACAAACCUUGAGGCGCAAAGAAGGAUUGCCUUCUUCACAAACUCACUGUUUAUGGAUAUGCCGCGAGCUCCUCGUGUCAGAAAUAUGCUCUCCUUCAGGUCUGUUCUCCGGUUAUCACCAUUUUCAACAGAAUUUAUGCUUCGUGAAUGACACCAUGUGCUAUCUAUAUUCUCCAAUUCAUAUUUUUCUACUGUUUAGGAAUCCAUCUUUUCCAGUUUUUUCACAUUUUGUUUUCCUUUGUGCUGGAAUGAAUGUACAAUAUAAAAUCCGUGUAGCUGAUACUAUGGAACUUUUAUGCAUAUAUACCUACUGCAGAGAUCUUCCUUAUCAGUAAGCUUAGAGUUUUAUUUUUGCGUUUACAGUGUUCUGACUCCAUACUAUAGUGAGGAAACCGUGUACUCUAAAAAUGACCUGGAAAUGGAGAAUGAAGAUGGUGUAUCAGUUGUAUACUACUUGCAGAAGAUCUUUCCAGGUAUGUCUUAUUGAUGACCUCUUGUUGUUGAAUUUUUUUCUCAAUGCGUUCUGUAAUUAUAUCCCCCAACCCCCAUUUCAGAUGAGUGGACUAACUUCUUGGAGCGGCUUGGUUGUAAAGAUGAAACUUCUGUUUUGGAGAGUGAAGAAAAUAUAUUACAGCUUCGCCAUUGGGUUUCUUUGAGGGGACAGACUUUGUUUAGAACAGGUAACUUAUACCAUCCACGCCUACUUAUAUUUUGUUUCAUUGUUUUUUUUUUUUUGCUUACACCAAUUUGUAUCCUGCAGUUAGAGGAAUGAUGUAUUACAGGCGGGCACUAAAGCUUCAGGCUUUUCUUGACAUGGCUAAUGAAACCGGUGAGGCCUGAUUACUUGACUUGUGUUUAACUAAAAUCAGCUGCACAGAUUAAACGUUCAAGUGUUUUCAACUCACUGUACUAUGCCAUUCUUACAUUCUACAACCACAAUAUUGACAGUGUUAAUCAUUUGUGUGAAGUAUUCAUAGUUUCAUAUCGAACAUAUGCUCGACAAUCUCGAAUAAGUACUUAUAACAUAUCUUUUGUUUUACAGAAAUAUUAGCAGGGUACAAAGCCAUUUCAGAGCCAACUGAGGAGGACAAGAAAAGUCAGAGAUCCUUGUACGCUCAGUUAGAGGCAGUAGCAGAUCUGAAAUUUACUUAUGUUGCUACCUGUCAGAACUAUGGAAACCAGAAGCGAAGUGGAGACCGGAGAGCUACUGAUAUCUUGAACCUAAUGGUUAAGUAAGUCCCUCCUCCAUCUUUGUUCCUGAAUAGAUUCCAGCAUUGGUUAGUUCCCUGGUGAGUCUUAUUUUCAUAUUCAACGCUGCAGCAAUCCCGCCCUACGUGUAGCAUACAUUGAUGAGGUUGAGGAACGAGAAGGCGGAAAAGUGCAGAAAGUGUUCUACUCGGUGCUUAUCAAGGCUGUUGAUAAUCUUGAUCAGGUAUUUCUAAUAUUCUAAAUCUUAUCAGAUUGGCUAUACCAUAUGUCAUAUUUGAGAACCCCUAGAUUUGAACUUUGUAUUUGUUACUUUUCAAAGGAAAUAUAUCGGAUAAAACUGCCUGGUCCAGCAAAAAUUGGAGAAGGAAAACCCGAAAAUCAGAAUCAUGCUCUCAUUUUUACAAGAGGAGAAGCUCUCCAGGCUAUUGACAUGAAUCAGGUAAACUACAUUCCCCCAACCGGCAAUUUCCACAACAACAAAAAUCUUUGUUGGAAGACUUUUACUUACCAAAAUACUUAAUAAAUAGGACCAUUACUUGGAAGAAGCACUUAAAAUGAGGAAUCUGCUGGAAGAGUUCAAUGAAGACCAUGGAGUACGUGCACCCACUAUUCUCGGUUUCAGAGAACAUAUUUUUACUGGCAGGUAUUUGGGAAACUUGAUUAUUAUUUUUUGUUGAGGAUAGAACUCCCUUAUUUUUGCUAGCUGAUUUAUAUGUGUUUCACUUCGGCAUGGUGCUCGCAGUGUUUCUUCUUUGGCAUGGUUUAUGUCAAACCAAGAAACAAGCUUUGUGACCAUUGGUCAGCGAGUCCUGGCAAGUCCACUGAAGUAUGUCAUGGUCUUCUUUCCUUUAUUCUACACACAUGAAUCUUAUUUUAACUUAAAAUUUAGUAACUGUUAAAAAUGUAAUCCCUUCUACAUAUCAUUUAACUCACACACACACCUUAUAUUUCUGAUUUCAGGGUAAGGUUUCACUAUGGUCACCCUGAUGUCUUUGAUAGAAUCUUCCACAUCACUCGGGGUGGCAUCAGCAAAGCAUCACGGGGCAUAAAUCUUAGCGAGGAUAUCUUUGCUGGUUAGAUUUAUGAACCUUACUUCUUCAAAUAAAAUAAUUGUGUUGGUUCCUUCAUCAUUCACUUAUGAUUGAUUCAUGUAUGUAUCUAGGUUUCAACUCAACUUUGAGGCGUGGUAAUGUCACUCAUCAUGAGUACAUCCAAGUAGGAAAAGGAAGAGAUGUUGGUUUGAACCAGAUAUCCCUCUUUGAAGCCAAGGUUGCUUGUGGCAACGGGGAGCAAACAUUGAGUAGGGAUCUCUACAGACUUGGGCAUCGUUUCGAUUUCUUCCGCAUGAUGUCAUGCUACUUCACUACAGUAGGAUUCUACAUCAGCUCGAUGGUAACUUAUGAUCUUCAAAUGUCAAACUAAGUUUAUCAUUAACUCAAAUUUGCUUAAAACAAAACAUAACAGAGUAAUUAUGUGUACUGCAGAUUGUUGUCCUCACAGUUUAUGCAUUUUUGUAUGGAAGACUUUAUCUGUCAUUGAGUGGAGUGGAAGAGGCAAUAGUAAAGUUUGCAGCGGCAAAAGGAGAUAGUUCCCUCAAGGCAGCAAUGGCGUCACAGUCCGUAGUGCAAUUGGGUCUGCUGAUGACACUACCAAUGGUGAUGGAGAUUGGGCUAGAAAGAGGAUUCAGAACUGCUUUGUCGGAUUUAAUCAUAAUGCAGCUUCAGUUAGCGCCUGUCUUCUUCACCUUCUCGCUUGGGACAAAGGUUCAUUACUUUGGUCGGACCAUCCUACAUGGGGGAGCAAAGUACAGAGCAACAGGGCGUGGUUUUGUGGUGAAGCACGAGAAGUUUGCAGAGAACUACAGAAUGUAUUCGAGAAGUCACUUUGUGAAAGGAAUGGAGCUUAUGGUGCUGCUGAUAUGUUAUAGGCUGUAUGGGAAAGCAGCAGAGGACUCAGUGGCGUAUGCGCUUGUCAUGGGCUCAACAUGGUUCCUGGUGGGUUCCUGGUUGUUCGCCCCGUUCUUUUUCAAUCCCUCAGGAUUCGAGUGGCAGAAGAUUGUUGAUGACUGGGAUGAUUGGAACAAGUGGAUAAGCAGCAGAGGAGGCAUCGGAGUGCCAGCAAACAAGAGCUGGGAAUCAUGGUGGGAAGAAGAACAAGAGCACUUGCUUCACUCUGGAUUUUUCGGGAAGUUCUGGGAAAUAUUCCUCUCGCUGCGGUUUUUCAUCUAUCAGUACGGUAUCGUUUACCAUUUGAACCUAACCAAGGAGAGCCGAAUGGGAAAACAACAAAGCAUCAUUGUGUAUGGACUGUCUUGGCUGGUGAUCGUGGCAGUGAUGAUUGUCCUAAAGAUAGUCUCAAUGGGGAGAAAGAAGUUCAGCGCCGAUUUCCAGCUAAUGUUCAGGCUUUUGAAGCUGUUUUUGUUCAUCGGAUCAGUGGUGAUCGUAGGGAUGCUAUUCCACUUCUUGAAGCUAACGGUAGGAGACAUUAUGCAGUCUCUGUUAGCGUUCUUACCGACAGGAUGGGCAUUGCUACAGAUAUCACAAGUCGGAAGGCAACUAAUGAAAGCAGUAGGGAUGUGGGGAUCCGUUAAGGCCUUAGCUAGAGGGUAUGAGUACAUUAUGGGAGUUGUUAUCUUCAUGCCAGUCACCGUACUCGCGUGGUUUCCUUUCGUCUCUGAGUUCCAAACCAGGCUUCUCUUCAACCAAGCCUUUAGCCGUGGUCUCCAAAUCCAACGUAUCCUCGCCGGUGGUAAGAAACAGAAAUGAGACUCCGUAUAAUUUCUCUGAUUCUCCUUUCCCCAAUUACUCUUAUAGCACUCUUACAAACUCUUUUCCUCAAUUCUUGCUUCUUGUGUUUUGUAAACUUAAGCAAAAACAUAUACAUAAUACAUGUAUAAAUCGUGAGAAAACUUACCAAUAGAUUUAAGUACAAUUUUUCUAUUAUCAGUUGAAGUUUAUGUAACAAAAGGAAUUUUCUAACAUUGUUUUAGUAUUUUCAGUUUGAGAAACAUAGCACCAUUUUUGUGUUUUUCUAACCUUACGACUAGCUUUAGCUCCAAAAAAAAACUCCAGUACAAACAUAGCAAGUGGGAGGAGACAAAGGAGAUGAUAAGUCAUUAGGAGUGUUAUAUAUUACAGUCUAAAUUCCAUAAAGCUAACACCUAACAUCAGACUCAUGAACUUGGAAUUAUUUGUUUACCUACAAGAAGAAGACUCUACACCUCUAAGGAAUGAUCUACGCCACCAUAUCUGAAACGCCUUGCUUAGAUUAGGACACUCAGUCCCAUGCUUUGAGAACCACCUGAACCAUUCCAUGAAAACUUGAUACUGUUGCUUUACUGGCAGUGUUAACAGUGUUUGCCCCAUCCCUUCCUCUACUUCCCUCAUGUCUUGUCCUUUCUUGCAUCUUUGUAGCCACCCGAAAUCUACUAACAUUGGCUUGAACCACGCUUCUACUAGUCCCGCCCUUGCUUCUCCUCCGCAUUGAACUCUCCUUUUCCCCAUUGCAAUAAAUAUCGCUCCUGUUACUCUGCUUACUUCAUACCUCACCAUUGGCGAUACAUUCUCAUGCAUCUCCACUAGCUUUCUUUGCUUCCCCCAUAUCUCCACAAAUUCCUCUGCUAUUUCCCAAUCUAUCAUGAUCUCUAGCAGCCAGUUUAUGUUCUCUACUUCCCUCGAAAUACUUUCAAUCAAUGGUUUCUCUUUCUUGCUACUACCUCUACUGCCUUCUUCAAACAGCUUAGCUAAUGAAUCCACGCAACACUUGCCUGCUCUAUAUAUUUCUUCCUUGUUGAUUUCAGGCUGUUCUUUCUCAUACACUGAACUUUUGCAAAGAAGACCCUUCACCAAAGAUCUGAGUUCGUUUCUAGGAUUUACAUCACUGCAGGAAGUUAUUGACCAAACAAGUUUCUUCGACAAACUGUCUUGCGAGUUUUCUGUCUCGUUUGAAUUAAACCUUGCCAAAAUUUCGCUGGUUGCAGCAUCAUCAAAGUUAUGAAUUGCAAGAAGCCUCCUCAGUUUUUCCUCUUCGUCCUCUGUCCAAGGAACAGCUUCAAGAUAUUUCAGACAGGACAAGACAGCUCUUGAAAAUUUGAUUCCAGCCGCUACCUAUUUGUGGUUAAGAAAAGCUUUGUUAGCACCACCAAUCACGACUAUAUGUUCAUAGAAAACAAUAAGAAUCAAUCUAACAUACAGAGCAGAGUAAUCUUCAAAGUUCCACGCAACAAUGUUCAUACUCAAAGAGAAACAAAAACCAUAUAAACUAACAUUUAAAUGUGAAAAGCUAUCUUCAUAGAUAUACUUAGAAGUGAGUAACUUGCACAAACAUAUUUUGGACCUCUACAAGAACACAAGAGUGUCCCCAACAAUAGUUCACUAAAAUGACCAAAUGAAGCUAGAACGAUGAACCAAGUACUAGUCCAUAUCUCAAGGCAAUAAAAUCUAAAUACUUAGUCAACAAUGUACUCUAAUACAUCCUAUCAUAUUCAUAUCUAAGGCUCAAGUGUUUAGCCUAAGAAGCGAAAAAAACAGAGUCUUUAACUAAGAUCAGCUACAGUGACUAAACCAAAUACACUGACACAACAACAAACCCAUCAAAUCAAACAUCUCAAUACAAUAAGAAACAAAGAUUCAUAUCACAAACCUCAAGUACAUCAAUGGCUCUGUAAACACCCAUUUUCAUAAACUUCUUGAUAAUACCAUCACUUCCCUCAAACAUAAGUUCUACAGUAUCCCUAAACACACCAAGAUUCUCCACAUCACAAACUUCAAUCCUGCAUGUGUUCUUCUUCAACCCUAAAGAUGAACACUUUUUGUCUUCCACAAUCAAACCCGCGAAAACUUCUGAAUUUGCAGCUAAAACCUCUGAGCUUAGCUCCAACACCAAAACCCCACCAUUUCUCCCCUUCAAACUCAACCUAGCAUCGUAACCCGAACCCGAACCCGAAUCCGAACCCGGACCCGAGACAGUAACUUCAAUCUUCGGAGCUCUAAAACUCUCUGAACGAAGACUGGGAGAUGAAUCUACAACCACCGGAUCCUCUUCUUCAUGAGUGGUCUCAGUCUCUUGCAUUGUAUCGAUGGUGAGAUCCGAAUCUAUGGGAGAAACCCGACCCGGUGAUAAGAUCCGACGCGGGUCGAUUCGACCCACUAUGUUUAAAGGAGAUUUAGAGCUUUGCGGUGAGCAAGGAACGGACUUGGGACCAAGUUUGGGUCUCUGCUGCUGAGAAUGAGAUUUAGCUUGAAUGUGGUUACGAGAUGAGAUUGAAAGGGCGUCAGGACUCGCCGGAGGUACGGCGAAAGAGCAACACCAUGAUCGUCGCCGAGAUAAAGGUCCGGCGGAGAAAUUAGUAGGUUUACGGAGAUCAGAGUCGCCGCCGCCCAUCGUCAUCAUAAGAGAGAGAGAGAGAAGUGAGAUGGUGAAGUAAAGUGAUAGAGAGAUUACUGUGUUAGCGUUUUGCUUUUUCUAUUUCUGGUUUUUUUUUUUUUUUUUUUUUUAAUUUACUUUAAUCAUGUUAAUUAAAGUUUUAAUCAUGGAAGUAUGGAACCAUAUAUUGUUGUGGGCACAAGUCCCUAUAUUGUUUUUUUUUUUUUUUUUGUUGGUUAACAACAUGUGUGUGAAGUGUGAACAUUGUUAUCGUGAUUUAACAAAAUUGCAAAUGAAUCAUACUCUAUUUUAAUUUGGUAAAUUCAUUCAUAUAUUGUGGCCAUUGUGUGAUAUUUGUCUUGGUACUUACAGUUUUGGUUAUAUUUUUCCUAACGAAUUAUCGUUUUGGUUAUAUUUUUCCUAACGAAUGAUCCUUUUGUAUUUUUUUUUAUCUAGACUUAUGUUAACAUAAUUAUGAAUAUUCAAACAGAUUAAAAGUGUAAAAUAAUACUGACAAAUUAUAUAUAUAUAUAUAUAUAUAUAUUGAGAGACAUUGUUUAAUGCGACGGGUUUGAAAUAAUAUAUUAAAAAUAAAAUAUUAUUGUUCUGAUAUUUUAAUACGGUUUAAAUUAUUAUUUUAUUAUUUUUAACAACAUUGAUAUAGAAUAUGUCAAAUCAACUCGUUUAAUUAAAAAUAUGUUAAAUCAACAUAUGCAUUUAUUUGCCAUUCAUGUAUUUCCAACUCUAUUUAUUUUUCUCUUUUGUAAGAAGUUAAAUAUUUUUCAUUUUACCAUAUUUGAUGUACUUUUUUACUUAUAACCAUAUUAGCAAUUCUAGAAAAUAUUAUACACAAACACAUUUUAUAUAUUUUUAUUAUAAAUGCUUGUCAUGUAACAUGUUACCAUAUGCUUUAAUUUAUCACUCAUGUAUUUUUCAACCUUAUUCAUUUUUAGUUUCUAAAACAAUGUUUUUUAUUUAUAUCCGAAUUUUAGUAACUUAAUUAGCAAGUAUAGUAAAAAUUAAUAGAUAUAAAUUAUCUUAAGAUUGAAGGUUCUUAGAUACAUUAAUUUAACAAAAGAUAUAAAACUUCUUAAGAACACAAUUUUCUAAUUUCUCUCAAACAAAUUUGGACUAUCACUUAUCUGUAUGAUACCGUUUUUGUUCUGUUUUGUUUCAAAUUAUUUUUACCAUCAUUAAAAAGCUUAAGAAUAUUGUAAUUUUAUGAGAAAUACCCUAGGACAACACUAUUCUAGAUUUUUCUUCCAAAAGUAGCACACACGCUCAAGUAUUCCAAAUCUAGCAUUUGUUAAUAGUGAAAAUUUGGAAAUCUGUCUUCUUUUCAAAUUUUCCUUUGAAAAAUAACCUCUGUUUUUUUCUCAUUUUUAAAUUAAUUUCCAUAUAUAUAAAAUUACUGAAAUAGCCUUAUUGAAAUAUAAUGGAAUUAAAAAAAUUAGAAUUAAACAAAAGCACAAUUAUUAUUUUUUAUUUAUUUUUUUCCAAAAAUAAUCUAGAAUUCUAGAUAUGUCAUAUUUUCAGAUCUGAAAAUAUUCUACAAAUUCGAACAAAGGGGAAAUAUUUGAACAAAUCCAAAAAACAGGCAACCAUAUUCGAACAUGUGGCUUGUAUGAUUUUAAGACAAUAACAGCCAUUGGGCCAUUGUACACUUCAAUUGUAUCCUUUCGUAGUUUAAUUAAUAUUACUUGCUGAUGUGUUACGAUUUUAAUGGGCUUAUUAGUUAGAUUUGGUGUGACUUGAUCGUAAAAGUAUGUCUUUUAAUCUGCAAUGGGCUUAUUAGUUAGACUUGGUGUAAUUUUAUGGGCUUAUUAGUUAGUCUUGGUGUAAUUUUCAUUUCCAUUCAGCUUCACCUUCUUCUUCCUCCGGCGGGGAACUUUCACAAUCAGAUUUUUUUUUUUAUGCUAAGGAACUGGGUUUUGUACUCUCCGGUUUUCUGAUUCCAAACAUUAGGAUCUCAUCUAUCAACUGUGAGUUUAUUGCAUUCCCUCAAUUGCAUUUCCUCACUUCCUUUAUGUGUUUAUGAAAUUCUGAAUUUGAGAUGUUUACUUGUUGCUUUGUUUUACAUCGAUCAAUCAGUUACCCUAUCUUAUGUGAUUCAAAGUUUCCAAUUUUUUUUUCAAUCUUUGUUACAAGCGUCCCGUUAGAAGAUGGAUCAUGUUUGUGUUCUCUAGAUUGUCCUGGGUCUCAAUUUGAGCUGAAAUCUAGGAAUAGAAUAUUUUCUAGUUUUUGAUUCAAUAGCUAAUCGUUGUUGGCUUUUGAAAAAUCUUUUACUGCUUCUAAUUUGGGAGUGUCUUGUAUUUAUGAUUAUCAUUAUAUAUUGUUAAUGGUGAUAUGCUUGUUUCUUUUUUUAUAGGAAAAUGCUGCAUAUAGCUAGUGUUUUUGGAGAAUGGUUGGUGAAGAAGAUAUCAUGGAAAUUCAUGGUGAAUAAAAAUAAAUGAGGUAAAUUAUUCACCAUUAAGGAUGAUUUGAAGUUUGAUGAUAUGAUUCAUAUGGUUCACGAUGAUUUCGGUAUAGAUAGGUUGAUUGAUAAGGUAGAUCUUAGCUAUGUGUUGCCUGAACCAAUGCUGAAAAACAUGCUGAAAGAUACUUCUCCUGUCUUGGUGAAUAAUAACUGGCAACUGGAAAGUUUAUUUUAAUUAUGCAGAUCGAUGCAUGUUCGUCUUUGCAUCUCAUCUAAGAAUUUAAACAUACAGCAUCAAGAUCAUGGUUUAAAUUUUUGUGAGAUUUCUAUGGUUUCUAGAGAAGGAGAUGAGAACAUGAUUAGAAAGUCAUCUAAUAAUGUUGGUAGACAAGAUACUGUUGAUGACACUAAAGUUGAGUUUUCUAACUUUCAUGAUGGGAAUGUCAUUAAAAAGGGGCAAUGGUUCAAGAGUAAAGCAAACCUGGCUUGGAAAAUACGGAUACUUGCAAGUGAACGCAAAUUCAGAAUUAUUGUUUACAAGUCGGACAAAAAAUUGUUGGUUAUCAAAUGUGUUGAUAAAAACUACAAGUGGAAGGUUCGAGCUACAAAGAAGAACACAUCAAGUGAGUACUUUUGGAUAACAAAGUAUAUUGACAAGCAUACAUGUCUCAGUAGAGAAAUUGGUCCACCAAAAGCGUAUUCAAAGAUAAUGAGUAAGCUUCUUUUGGAAAACUUUGGAAAUGGCGGUCUAAGUAUGAAACCAAAGUUGAUCUUGACAGGUCUGAAGAAACGAUAUGGUAUUAAUUCAAAAUACUGGAAGACAUGGAAAUCAAGAGAAGAUGCUUGUAUUGAGGUAAUGGUUCUGCAGAGAGUAGUUAUGCUCGACUCCCAGUAUACCUUUACAAGAUUAAAAAAGCUAAUCCAGGCACAAUAGCAUGUCUUGAGGUUGAUAAUCAUCGGAGGUUUAAGUACUUAUUCUUAUUGUUUGCUGCUUGCGCCAAAGGUUAUGAUUUUAUGAGAACAAUUGUAGAAGUUGAUGGGACCUUCUUGAAAGGAAAGUAUGGUGGUGUUUUGCUAGUUGCAACGGCUCAAGAUGGAGACUCUAAUAUUUAUGCUCUUGCGUUUGGAAUAGUGGAUUCUGAAAAUGAUGCAUCAUGGCUUGGUUUUUCACCAAGUUGAGAUAUGUGGUGCCAGAUGAUCAGAGAUUAGUAAUGAUAUCUGACAGACAAUUAUCCAUUGCUAAAGCCAUUGGAAAGGUGUAUCCAAUGGCUCAUCGAGGAAUUUGCACUUAUCAUCUAAAAAAGAAUGUUAUUUCUAAAUCUGGAGGAAAAAAGAUUGUUCGACUGGUUAGGACAGCAUCAAAAGCUUAUAUGCCAGAAGAAUUCAAUGGGAUUUUUGCUGAGAUACGGCGUAAGAAUCAGAAGCUAAGUGACUAUUUGGCUGAAGCAAAUAUGCUAUUGUGGUCACGUACUUAUUUUUCAGGAGAUAAAUAUGACAUUACUACAAGUAAUUCAGCAGAGUCAUUAAAUAAUGUGUUCAAGGCACCCCGUGAACUACCCAUUCUAUCAUUGAUUGAGGCAAUAAGAAAUACACUUACAUGGUGGUUUUUUUUAUCGUCGAGAAAGUGCUGCAAAACUUAGUUCAUCUCUUACACCUAGAGUUGAGAAAGAGCUCAAUAAACGGUGUGAUCAGUCAUUAAGUUUUGAUGUGCAGCCUAUAAAUCUGCAAGAGUUCCAAGUAACCGAUGGGUCAAAAUUUUUUGUUGUUGAUCUACAACGGAUGACUUGCACAUGUCGUGUCUUUGAUGUUGAGAAGAUCCCUUGCAAGCAUGCUGCUAAGGCUGCAUCGAGUCAAGGCAUAGAUCAUGGGUUAUUAGUACAUCAUUACUAUAUGAAGUCUCACAUGUACGCUGCAUAUUAAGAGAGUAUAAAGCCUAUAUAUGAUCUUUCGGAUUUGAGUGAGAUAUCUUCUAAUAUUGUUGGUCAGAUUUGUCUUCCACAAGAGGUCCAAAAAAAAACAAGAAGACCUAAAAAAAGAAGAUAUAAAGGUUUUGAAGAACAAAGGAUGAGGAAAAGGCUCGAAGACAACAUACUUGAUCAAGAUGUCAUCAUUCAGGACAUAAUCGUGCCACAUGUGACUUUGGUUUUUGAUGCGUUGGCUUAUGAUGUUUCAUUUGCUAAUUUUUUUUUUUGGUCAUUGAAUCAUAUGAUUUUUUCCGAUUUACUUGUACUGGGAUUUUGUUGAAUCUUUUCUGGGAUUUAGCUCAUCAACAAAUUUGAUUAUUAAUUUCAAUUAUAUGUUCCAAACGUUUUGUAACGUAACGUAACAUGGUUACAAACCAUAUGAAAUGAUCACUUAAAAUAUGCAACAUGUCGAGACAAAACAGGUGUAGACAACAAGUUAAGCCACAUGAAUGUUGUGGUUCUCUCUUCAUUAUCUUAAGUUGUUAGAUCCAUGCUUCAAGACCAAGCUAUGAGUUGUUGGUCUUUAUUACAUUUACAAGCUAUUAGAUGAUGCAUAGGUUCCUCUACAUGUAGUAUCCCUAAUGAGGAGAUCCUUCCAAUCCAACAAUGAACGUAUUCAAAAAUAAGAGUUUACCUUAAGAAUGGAGUUCCAGUAAACCAAAAAUGUCCACAUGAAUGCAUUCCCGGACUCUAAUAGAAAACAUAACAUAACACCAAACUACCUGCUGUCAUGGAAUCGAGAAACUUAGAUCUUUGGCAGUCUGAAUUCUUGACUGAUAAGUGGUUAAUCCACAUAUCUAGCAGCUGAAACCCAUGAAUUAAUAGCGCCUACAAAAAAUUCCGAUUAGCUCUAUAUUUUUUUUGAACAUGUCUAUAAAAAGAAAAAAACAAGUAAGACGAAGAAGACAACUAAUAUCAAUUAAGUACCUGCAAGAUCUCAAAAGCUAUGCUGCAUGGCUCAAAAAGUAACAAUAGAUACACAUAUGAACCAAUUGUACUGUAUGCAUAAGGGAAAGUUUUAUCCUCUAAGAUUGGAGGAAAAAAGUAAAUCCUUUUAUUCAACAUAUCACCAAGACAUGCUUGAAAUUGGUUACUAAAACAGAAACUGUUAUUACACAAAGAAAUCAAACAAGAAUCCUAAGUAGACUGCGGUCCAGAAAACAUAAUGAACUCACACAACAUCUUUCUCGCUCUAUGUCAUCCAUAUUUCACUCAGGAGAAGUUUUUGCCUUAAUCUCACCUUUGAGCAGAGUUCAUACUAUAUGAAUUUCAGGAUAAAAUCUCUCACAGUAUAUACAUGUAGUCUCCCUAACGAAUAAAACAGAGAUUUUAGCUAACCGUGAAGAAGAACACAAAAACUUGAGUUUGACUCAAACCGUUUGAGAAACUCGGACUCACAUAAGUUAAAUCAGUAGUUCCCCAAUACCCUUUAGGAAGCAAAUAGUCACAUAAUAAGAAAAAACAGUGAUAUAAAAUAAAGCUCAAACCAAGUGCAAAAAAGAAGAAAACGAAGCUGAAACCAAAUUCAAAACAAAAGAGAAUCACUAAAUAAAAAAAGAAAACUAGAGUACGCCUAAAAUCUUAUAACCAAAAUAAUCAACUAGAGAUCUUCGUAAUGGUUUGCUUCCAUGAACAUAUCUGCCACCAGCUUUUUUCGAAUAUCUUUGAUGUUUGCAUCACAUAGUCCAAUCUUCAUAUCUACCUCCAACGCAAGACACUCUAUAUAUUUCAAAGCAUAAACUCCACAAUCACCCGAUAUUUUGUUUUGUGGUAUUUCUUUAGACCUUCUAAUAGUGUAACUAGCAUCAUUUAACUCAUCUCUUUCAGCAGGAGAAACUUGCGUUUUGCUAAGAUAUGGUAUCAUAAGUGCAUAUGGCUUCACAAGCUCUGCAAUCUCUUCAUCACCAGUGACUCAAAGAAUAAUGUCGUACACAUCAAUGCGUCGGUGAAGAAUCGAUAUAGCCAAAGCAACCCAAUGAACACGGUUAAUGUUCAACACCACAAAUACUUCAUCGACAUCAACUCCCAUUCUCUUGUUUGUCCUUUCACAUCUUGGCAAAACACCGUUAUAAUAAUCGAUGAAUCGAGAGCUCCAAUCAAAGGUUGUAGGGUCUUCCAUAAAGUUUUGAUAGCUCUUAGUUAUCAUCACAGUAAAUGGAACAUCUAGAAACGCCAAUCGUUUACUAUGAAACGGGCAUGAGACCUUUCCUAAUUUUCUUCUCAGCAAUGACAUGCCGACGUCAAUGUGCUGUCACAAAAAAAUAUAUAUAAGUUAGUUAUUGAAAAAAUAUUUUCAUUAUUAAUACUAACUACAGUUUACUUACAUCUUCGCUUAACCAAAAUUGUGGUUUCAUAUAUAAGCUCCAAAAAAACUGUUUGUCUGCCUUUAUGCUGCCCAAAUUAACCGUUACAUUUCUGUAAUCAAUUAUUGCAUGUUUUCAAAUUACUAUUAAUUCUUUAAAGAACAUAGAAAAUUUUAUCGAAAUAUACAUAUCAAUCUUUAACUAUGAAUCCAACCAAUUAACAAUAUUUUCAUCUGCUAAAACAAAUGGAUCAUAUUGACAUGACUUCAAAACAUUCUUGUUUCUUCCCAUUCCUUUACCGGUAUCCAAUAACAAACCAAAACUUUUAAUUUUUGUAUCAAUGUCCUUGUUUUUCAAGGUACGCUUAUUCUCUUUUGCUGGAGUUACACUUAAAACUCUGACUGAAGAAUCAGAUUCUACUUUAUUACAAGUAGUCUUGAACUCCUUUUCCUUUCUUGUAAGAAAAAUAACUUUAUCAAACUAUAUUCAUAAAAUUAAAAGUUAAUAACAAACAUAAAUAUUUUUACCUUGUUUGCAUUUGGGAUAUAUCAGAAUUAAGUUUUAUGAUACAUGAAUCGAAGUAUUCUUUCGUCAAUACUUUGAUACAUGAUACCAUCUUUGUCUUCUUCGAGUCAUGAUUUUUGUUUUCUUCAGCUUUACGUUUUCUAUCACGUACUCCAUCGGUUCUUGAGUUCUUCAUCUCUGAUCAAUAAGGCAUAAACAAAAAAUAUAUUAUAUUUGAACAAUCAAUUAUUGUAUGUAAUUAUAGUCAAUAAACAUAUACAUAUACAAACUCACGUUAAAUUUUAAACCACGAUAUGCGUGUUUCUACGUCAUAACCAUAACAACUUUACGUACAUCUAUAUUUCCCAAACUAUGCAACCUCUAACAUGAACUAGUUUUUAAUAAAGUUACGUAACAAGGUGAAAGUGGAUCAUAAUCAUAACUUUUACAUACAUACAUCUUCACUUAAUAAUCUAUCAAUCUCUACGUAAAAUUUUUCAUAAUAGCAAACAUACUCACAAAUCAAUCUCUACGUAAAAUCUUGUAUAAAUAUUGUAGAAUAAGAGUAAAAAAAAAUCAAUGAACUUACGUUGAUUCAUAACAUAGUGACGUAGAAAAUACAAAAAAAAAGUUAACAAUAACGAAUCGUUAUCUUGAAAUUUUUUUCUAAAGAAAUAUAGUUGAAUACGGUUAGAGAAUUUUGGAAUUUAUGGCUUUCUAUAAGUUUAUAUUAAACGAAAACUAUAGAUUUGAUAAUUUUUAGUUAUUAUCUUAUAAGAUUUAGUAUCUUUUUUAAUAAACUAUUAUUAUUUUUAAACUAUAAUAAUAAAAAUAAAUAUAUAUUUUUCGAAUUGAUUUUGAAUUUAUAACUAAAGCAUUUAAAUUAAAUCAGGACAAACCUGUCUUUUUAUAUAUUGAUUUUUUAUUUUAUUUUAAAUAGGGUAAGUGUAGUUUACAAAGCAAAACUUUAAAAUAUGGUAGAAUUCAAAAUCACCCUUGUUAAUAUCCAGUAACUUAAAUAAAAAAAAUUCAUUAUUUAAAAGAAAAAAAUCAAAUUCACUCUUUAAAAGCUUUCUACGGUGAAACUUGUGAUUAAUCUUCCAAUCUCUUCAUUUCAGAUCUCAGAUCUUUCAGUUAAUUGCUGAAUCAAUCGCUAGAAGCUUCAAUCAAGUGAUUUUAUCAGAGAUUCAUCAAGCCCAAUACCAAUCAGAUUCAGAUUCGUAGUUCUGUUCGAUGUUGGUGAUUUUAAGCAGCUACGAAGUUGUGAGACGAGACGGUUUGGUGUUGUUUCUCAGUCGUCUACUCUUUCUCAGACUUCUACUCUAAUGGUGAGAUCGAGAUAUCUAGAUCUCAAGGAACGACUACACGCAUGACUCACACGCCUUAAGUUGAUGUUGAGAAGCCGCUUCCCAACAGAGAUCUCUACAUCAGAAGCUUCUCCGCCGGGUUUCUAUACGGAUCCGGCACGUAUCUCGGUAGAACUAUGGGUGAAUGUGACAAAGGUGAUUGGAAACGAGGCAAAGCUUCAGGAAUGGCUUAGCGGAGCUACUUACGAAAGUGAAUUCAAAUUUGAGCAAACGGAAAGAUUUGGGACUUUACUGGAGCUGAUGGAGAUACUUACAGAGGAACUUUAGAUAGGAAACAUGGUCAUGGAAAAAUGGAGAUUUCUACAAAGGAACUUGGAGAAGGAAUUUGCAACAUGGUAAAGGUUGGUACGUUUGGAGAAUGGCGUAGUUGUGUGAUUUUCAGGAAAGGUUUGAUUAUUAUGCCUAGUGGGAAUAUAUACGAAAGUUUGUGGGAGAAUGGGAUUCCUAAAGGAAGUGGUGUGUUUACUUGGAGUGAUGGUAUUUCUUGUGUUGGUGUUUGGAAUGAGAGUAAUAACAUGAGGCGUUUCUUUAAUGCUAUUGAGAAAACUUGUGGAAUCUCUCUGAUCAGAUAACUUAUAGUGGUUUAAGAGAAACGAGUGAUUGUUAAGAACAAUUGCUAUAUUGAACAUCCUUUAACCAUCCCUUCCUUAAACCUCCUAUCUUUUUUAGCCACCACUGGUUCUUCUUCCUCUGUCUUGGUUUGACAAAUUCCAUCAAAGCUACUGAUGAGAUAUAAAUGGAGUUAAUUGUGAACAUUCGAUAAGAUUGAUAUAAGGAUGCUUUAGCUUUUCAAGCAACUCAGCGAAGAAGAACGAUUCUUCUUCUUCUCAUCAUCAUCACCACUAUUAGGGAAUGUAUAUAGUUGGUUUUCCUUGAUUCAACCUUUAUAUAGUAUAGAUUCAGAAUCCCUCAAACGGUGAUGACUAGAACAAGAAACUGAGGAACUACAAGCCGAAGAAGCCAAAGGCAUCAAAGAUGAGGUAGAUGUCGAGACAAAAGACAAGAAGAGAAGAAGAGCAUGAAGACGAUAACAUUCAUUCCAUAGCUAAUCAAUAUAUAUAUAUAUAUAUAUAUAUAUAUAAUUUGACCAAAGUUAUAGAAUUGGGCAACAUAUUUAAAUGCAUUGGGAGAGAAAAGGGAGAGUACAUGUGUCAGGAUCUCUUGAUGUCAAGUUAAGUAUAUGAGAAAACUUAUGAUCCACCUAAGCACACCCAUGCUUGCAUAUGGCGUUCACUAGAAUCGUGAGGAUUUUCAAAAACAAACUCCACAUUACAGCACCAUUAACCCACAUUCGAACGUUUAACCAUAAGGAAAGGACCAGGAGAUUACAAAUCAGACACAUAUAAACUUCAGCAGAUCUUAACCUAUCAGAUUAAACACUUAUUUGAGAAUCAAUACUUACACACUUAGAGUUUAAAGCUGUAAAUUUAGAAUUGAGGAAUUGAUAACUUAGAUCAACUACAAAAGGUAAUUAGUUGAAGCUUUGGCUCUAAAAAUUUAUAAACUAAUCACAAAAUUCUAACAACAAGUAAUAAGAGUCCUUCGAGCUAUUUGGGAUCCUCAUUUUGGUCAACCGGCUGUGGAAGCGUUCACUCAAGGAGGUGCUCUCGGCCCGGUGACUGCGGGUCUUUGCUCAUAGUCAAGAAUAGGCUUCUCGCAAUUCCAUUUUCUAAAAGAUUAGGAUCCUCUUUUCAAGGAAAACAAUUAAAAAAAGGGAAUUUGGCUGUACCACACAAAAUGACAGGCAGUGAAUAUCCCCGAGUGCCUCUUUUCCCCGAACUCUAAAUAGACUUUUUUGCUAUAUGGAAUUACUUGUUGGGCUACGUAAGAACCCAAAAAGCGAGGAAAACAACAAUUUUUUGCAAUUUAAUCCAAAUUAGUCAAGAACAAAUACGGAGUAAUUGAGUAGACAUAAGUACCAUAACAAAAUCAUUAUCGGAACCUAGUUUCUUGGGAGCUAAAUCAUCUUGAUAAACAAUAUCCCCACCAGAUCUCUCCCAGUCGCUCAUACUCACGUAGCCACUUGUCUUCAUCAAGCACUCCCAUUCGCUCAUACUCACGUAGCCACUCAUCCUCAUCCAGCUCUCCUGGUUGUUCAUCUUGAGCAGCUUCCUUUGUCGCUCUUGUCGCUUAUCCUGCCGCAGUUCUCCCUGUCGCUCCCCCUGGCGUUCUCCUUGUCGUUUAUUCUGCCCCAGCACUCCCUACCGCUCUCCUUCGCUCAUCCAAGGUAUUACUUUCAAGUAAUUUAACCUUCAAAACAUACAAAUAGCUAAUUGGAGAUAUCUUUACAGGUGAAGGCUCCAAAGAGAGGUGAUAUUGUCAGAAAGAUUGAGGAUUCAUUAAGAUCAAAACUCACUUGAAAUGUGAAAGAUCCUUGCUGAAAGAAUCGGAGAAGUUCAUGUCAACCAAAUUACCUAAAAAAAAAUUAUUUGUUUAGUUGUUGAAGGUCUAAUCCCAUGUUUACAACAUCCUAAUGACACGUUGCUUGUUGAUAAUCCAGAACCAGUGCCAUGGGGAGCUACCACUUAUUUGUGGUUUGUCUACAUUGUUUAUCUUGAGAGCUUGAUUGAAUUUCUUCUCACGUUGUUUCUCUUUAUAAUGUCAAGCUUGUUGAAAGCAUAUUCUUAUGUAACAUGCAUAAUCUAAGAGAAAUAAACAUGUGAUGGUGUUUGUUUAGUUCAUCAUGGCUUAGAGAGUCUAUUAUGCAUGAUAUGAGUAGUCUUUUAUUUUCUUGGUUCAGGUGGGUGAAGGGACAAUCUUGAUUGUGAAUGGACAAUCUUCUACUCUGCUGCUCCCAGAUGGAUAGAUCCAGAGUCUAAGACAGGUGAGUUACACCUUCCUGAGGAACUCAUGUGCUUUAUGUCAUUUCUCAUGUGGUUGUGUGAUUGUAGAGGAACCCUAUUUCUUCCCAGACUUGCAACAUUCAACACCAUUUGAAUCCAUGAUGUAGUUUAACCACUGAUCUCAUUUUACCAAACUUGGUUUCUUUUAUUCCUCAUACAGGUGUUAGGGACUGGUAUGACCAUUGGAAAGGGUGUGUUUGGUUUACUCCAGGAGCAGGUGUGUACGUGUACAUUUGUGUGCUGCUCAUACCUGUAGUAACAUCUUGUACAAUCUGAAGAAGACGUUGUAGGUUCUAAACUUUUCUGUAUGUCUUACAUUUACAAAAUAUACCUCUCGAACAUGCAUUAGGUUGUGGUAAUAUUUUUGCUUGUUGAUGCUAUAAUAAAAAAAUCACUACACCAAUCCAUCCUGCAAAAAAAACUAUUCACAAAGUUUUUUUGGGCAAACAUAGAUUACUUGAUAAAACCUGAAACGUUUACACUCCACCAUGGGAGGAAUUGUUUAAAAGCCAUCAAAGCUGACUUUGCAAGAGAGUCGGCUAAAACAUUGCCAGACCUUGGAAUAAAGUUAAAAAGAUAGAAGCAAAAGAAGACUUUAACACAGCUAUGUCUUGGAGGAUACCCUUGAGCUCUGUAGUCCAAUUCUUUGCAUUGAUGAGUGUUAUGAGGACUUUGGAGUCCAAAAACACUGAAAGGUUUGUAAAAUCCUGAUGGGCUGCAGCCAUAGUAAGCGCACUCCGUAAAGCCAGAGCUUCGCAAUAAGAGCUGAAGCUACAAAGGCUCUGCUGUCUGACGAAGAAACCAAAGUCGAAAAGGUCGGGUUUGUAACUAUCUAUCCCAUUAUGCAGUUGCUAGAAACACUAGACCAAGCGGCAUGCACAAAGCAAGUAGCAGUCAAAGGCUUUAAACCAUUAGACAGCGGCAUAUAUUUAGGGGCCUGCAUCUUGGGGACUUAGCAUUUACCCAUGUUUUUGCAUCCAUGAUAGCUUUGAGAACUGUUUCACUUCUGUAAAGAUUCGUUCUUCAAAGAGAAGUUGAUUUCUUGCCUUCCACAGAUUCCACAACAGCCAAGGGAACCGGGGUGUGGAAGCUAAAUCGGAUGGUGGGAGGUUCUGCAUUUUUAUACCCAAUUGCAGGAAAUGGUGGAUGGUUUGCUCAGUCCCGGAGCCAUGUUCCAGAAGCUUACAGCAAAUGGACAGUGGAGAAAGACAUGAAGUUCAUCUUCAGCAGCCCCACAUCUUUUACACAACUCGCCAGCUCCAAGUCCUCUUUUGGCUAAAUUAGAGCCGAGAGCCAGGUCCAGGUUUGCUGUUUUACACAGAAACGUUUUAAGCUUUGGUGUUGUCUGGAGAUUCCAAACACAACUUAGCCAGUUCAUCCGAGGGUGGAAAAAGCAUACCCUGUUUUGGUAGAAUACUACCCUGAUUUCUCAGGUAACCACACUCUAACGUCUCUAAGGGAAUUUGUGCUUGUUAUGAUCUUUCUAAUAUCAGCCUCAUGAUGAGGUACAAGGGAGUGAAUAGCAGAGAUAUUCCACUCAUUAGUGUCAGGACAUAGAAGGUCACUAACUAGAAGUUUCUCAUCACACAAAUUUGGGGGACCGUAGGGGAUAGAGGCUAUGAGGGUGAGAGCCACGCAUCGGUCCAAACCUUGAUUUCUGUCCCAUCUCCCACCGUCGAACCUAACCCCUUCUUUAAUACUUCUCUUCUAAGAAGAAUACCUCUCCAUUCAUGAGAGGCUACCUUUGGGUUAAAAGCAGCUUUCAGAAAAGGAACAUCAUGGCUGUACUUUCCAAGAAGCACCGUUGCUAGUAGAGAGGAAGGAUUUUGCAGAAUUCUCCAACUAAUCUUUGCAAGCAGGGCAUCAUUGAAGCAUUCUAUUUCUCUGAAACCUAGUCCACCUGCAUACUUUGGGCGAGUGAGCUUAUCCCAAGCCACCCAGCACAUCUUCUUCUUCCCUGGCUUGUCAUCCCACCCGAAGCAAGUGAAAAUGGACUGAAUUUGUUUACAUAAGGAAGUGGGAAUUAACAUGGCAUACGACGGCAUGGCUGCAAGCACUGACUUUAACAGAAUUUGUUUACCUGCUCCCAAGAGGAAUCGAGUAGACCAGCUAUGUAAUUUUUGCCGGAUCUUAUCAACAAUAGCUGAGAAAAUAUCCCUUUUCUUUCGGCCAAAGUGCUCGGACAAUCCAAGGUAUUUGCUUAUUCCUCCUUCUGCCUUUAUAUGAAGGGCAGCUUUGACCUGUCUCUUGCAUUCCGGGGAGGUCUUAGAUGAGAAUGUGAUAAAGGAUUUCUUGAGGUUAAUGCGUUGUCCGGAGGGUUUUUCAUACUUCUCAAGAAUCUGAGUAAGGGAUGCACAACAGGAAGUAGAAGAUUUGCAGAAAAACAUGGUGUCAUCCGUGAAUAGAAGAUGGUUAAUAAUAGGACUUGCUCUUGCCACCCUGAUGCCCGAGUGUCAGCCUUUCCUUUGUGCAUUCAAGCAAAGCCCUGACAGAACUUCCGUGCACAAGAUAAAAAGAUACGGAGACAGCGGGUCUCCUUGCCUAAGGCCUCGAGAAGGAACAACUUUUCCUUGUGGUUUACCAUUGAUAAGGAAGGAGUAAGAAACAGAGUCAAUACAUUUCAUUACCCAAGAGAUCCAAAUCUCAUGGAAACCAAGACGAUUUAGGACUACUUUUAAAAAAAUCCAUUCAAUACGGUCAUACGCUUUACUCAUAUCCGUUUUAACCGCCAUGGAGCAGAACUUUCUAGCUUCUAAGGAGCGGAGGAAGUGAAGAAUUUCAUGCAUGAUGAGUACGUUAUCCGAAAUAGCUCUGUUUGGAACAAAUGUGGAUUGAUGGCUAGAUAUAAGCUGCGGCAGCAGUGGUUGGAGCCUUCUUGUCAGGAUCUUUGCAAUGAUCUUAUAGUGAGUGUUACAUAAAGCUAUAAGUCGAUAAUCUCCUACUUUCUUUGGCGAGAGCCCCUUAGGGAUUAACCAAAUAUGGGUUUCAUUUUGUCUACUGUGGAGAAAGCAUGUUUCAAAGAAGGAUAUAACAUCUCGAGAGACGUACUGACCAAUAAUACUCCAAUAUGCUUGAUAGAAGCUCGAGGAGAAACCAUCCGGCCCAUGAGCUUUACUAGUAUUUACCGAGAAUACAUCCUUUCAGAUUUCCUUUGCAUCUGGGAUCAGGAUGAGUUUGGCAUUCAUGUCCGAGGUGAUCUUUGAUUUUAAGGCUUUAUCAAUAAUGCUUAGAUCAGUAUCCUCAUUAGCUGUGAAAAUAGAGUGAUAGAAGUCUGCAACAAUGUUCCUCUUCAUGCACUUCCAUUCCUUGUUCAUUCUCGAUGACUAUAAAGGAGUUUAAAACUCUUUGGCCUCUUGCUAUAGCAUGGAAGUAGGCAGUACUGCCAUUCCCUCCCUGGAGCCAUUGGAUUCGACUACGCUGCAGCCAAAAGCUUUCCUCCUCUUUGUAGGCAUUUUCCAAAUCUAAAGUCAAGGAAGCAAUUAUUUCAGCAGUUGGUGUCGCCAAGGAGAAAGCUGUUUCCAGCUUAUGUAGCAGUUCCUGGAUCUCUUUGCUGCUAUUGUACUUCUGUUCCUUAGUCCAUUCAAUGAUUUUGCGGCGAUAACAGUUAAGCUUUGUAAUGACUGCAUCAUCUUGAGAGAGAUUCCAGGCGUCUUUGACCAAAUCUGUCACCUCAGGAUUUUCUAUAAGUCUCUUGUCAAAGCGAAAGAGGCCCCUCUUUUUCUCUUUUAAAACAUUUAAGUAGGUGACUAGGGGGCGAUGGUCUGAGCCUUCAAAGCGCAUGUACUUGCAACAGCCAGCAGGAAAGGUCUCUGCCCACGAGCAGUUAGAGAGGGAGCGAUCUAAUCUUGCUCUCACAAAGUAUUUAUGUUGCAUUGCUCUCCAAGAUAAGGAGCAACCUGAAUGCUUGAAAUCCCAAAUCCCAUUUUUGAUACAAAGCUGCGAAAGUUGAGAAAGGAACCUUCCCAUCUUGGUCGGCCUCCCACUUUUUCAGAAUUCUCCAAAAUCUCAUUAAAAUCUCCUAUAAGGAGCCAAGAGGAAUUUCUAAGAGCACCAAUGUCAAAGAUUUGGCUCCAGAAAUCUGCCCUGAACUCAACCUUUGGGGGGCUAUAGAUGAAGGUUAUAAAAGAAGAAAAGCCUUUGUAGAUGAUCUCAGUAUCAAUUAAGUUUUGGGAUGAUUUUGGGAUGAUUUUAGGAUUUUAAUAGUUUUGGGGUGAUCUCCUUCCAAAGAAAAGCUAGCCCUCCACUUACGCAAAUGGGAGGAAUUGUAAACUUGGAGGAGAAACCCAUCCAGUCAAACUUUUUAGAAAUAUAUUCAUCAGAGUUUUUUGUUUCCAUCAGGAACAUUAGGUCCGGAGAGAUUGUUUUAUGGAUCUCUCGAUGACGACGAACUAUAAAGGAGUUCCUCAAUUCUUGACUGUUCCCACUCAAAACAACUAAGGAAGAGGAUUUGGUGGGGACCGAAAAUCCGCCACCUCCUUACAAGCUGAAGGAAAAUCCGCUAAAACUCGAAGGGGAGGUUGAUUCCCAGGAUUGCUGCCACAUCCCUAAUUGGGCUCAUCCUCUUCAAGAAAUCUUAUUAUUACAUCCUGUAGUAAUGAGGAAUCAAUGGAGAUUCCAGUACCUAGUCGGGAUUUCACUGAAGGGAUGGGGAGGGAUAAGCGUUCAAGUGCAGGCCUCCUUUCCCUGGAAGAGCUAUUUGCAGCCUCCGGAACUAUAACAUGAUGGGGCUGAAUGAGAUCUCUUUAGGGACUAGAGGGAGGAGUAGCAGAGAGAUGGGAAUGGGUAUCUUUGUCCCCAGGGGAUCGUGGAGUUGCCCUCGGUGAGGCUCUACUAUGCCAGCUAGGAGAGCCAACAUCUCUGUUAGCAGCCUGUCGACUAACCUCUGGGGAUGCACCCCUAGUGGAGCAGCUCAAACUUGAUAUAUUGCUUUGUCUUUCCACCCAUUCCCUCUUUUGAUUCGACCUACCAGAAGGAAGAAUUCUUCCUAGGUAUCUUGCUGCCGAAAUUCCAUGAUGAGAACCUCCUCUGUGGGAGUCUUCCUUAAAAGAACCAGACCGGCUGGUAUGAUGACUCGAAGAUUGGUAAGACCGAGAGUGUCGACCAUCGUGUUGGUGACCAUCAACCUUUGUGGAGGAGGGGGGCUUGUUGUAGUUAUGUUCCCGGUGUUACUCUCUGUCGACCUCCCGCCGAUGGUUGGAGGGGGGAAGAGGGGGAUUUCUCCUGUCCUCUGUCCUGCGCUGGUCCGCUUAUAAUAUGCUAAGGUUCUUCUUCCGGUUGACACCAAUAGGUCGAGAAUCACCCAUGGAAGCUAAGUUUUUUGGGCAGUCAUUUUCCUCAUGAGAGAGGGAGAAACAAGAGAAGCAGUGUUUCCCAAGUUUCCCAUAUUCCAACUCAACAGUGGUGAUUUCCCCUCUAGGAAGUCAGAUAUCUAGUCGUAUUUCCAAUGGCUUAAGCCCAUUGACAUCAACCCGAACACGGGCUUCUUAUACAUACUUUCCGAGAUGUAGCAGAUUUCUUCCCCAAUAGCUUGUAUAGUUUGUUCAUUCCAGUGAAGAGUGGGGAUAUCUUGAACUCUAACCCAUAAGGUGAUAAUGGAGGGGAAGUCGGUAGAAACUGUAGGUUCCCAGGACUGGGAAAAGUUGGUGCGGCGAAAAUUCAAAAAGCAGAAAGCAAGCUAAAGCGUCUCGAAACUCGGGCUUGAGAGAAAAACUCGGGAAAACAGUUUCACUUCAACUAUUCACAAAGUUAUAUUCUUUUUCUCCGACAUGAAAAUAAUGAAACCAAACUAGGAAGCUGUAUAUGUAUGAUGGCCAUCAAAGGUCAAGGCAUAAGCCAUGUGAGAAAGUUAAGUCAACAAUACAUCUAACAACUUGAUUUUGGAGUUUAGCUGAUGCCGACAAAACACAUUAAAAAGGCACACAGACUAAGACGAAAAUUUCAUGAGGCAAGUUUGUGUAAGUCAACGCAAAGAUACUUGAAAUAUUGGUUUCAAUUUCUCAUGGGCCGGAACUAUUAUUUACCCCAAUUGCAGCCUGUUUCCGUUUCCUUUUCCCUUUCCCUUUCUAAAUGAGAACCCUAGAACAUUACAUUUGUCUUCUUCUUUUCUUCCUUAUCCAAUGACAGUUCUAUGCCAUUUCUCUUUCCAGGUGAAUAAUCUCCAACUUUGUCCCCUUCUCUCCAACUGUAAUUAAUAUCCUUUUUAUUUUAUUUUAUUUACUGAGUAUCUUCCAUUCCACCAUCUUUUGUAUAGUGGUUUUGUUUGAUUUUGUCAUCAAAAAUCUUCAAAUUUCUCUUGGUUGUUCUUGCUUCUCCAAAAUUUUCUUCAUUUCCCAAAAAGAAGAAAUUGUGUAGCUUACUUGACAUCCUUGUGACGACUUGCAGGUUUAGGAAUGCUCUUUAUUGUGUAAGACUCUGCUUCAAUCAAUCGACAUUUGUAUUAGGUGAGUUCACAAAGUCCGUACACUCCUCUUGUUUGGGCUAGUCUUGAUGAAAAAUAAUUUUGGAGCGUUGCAAAGUCCAUUGCAUUUAGGCUCAAAUAUCAGUGGAGACGAGAAUGACUCUGUGUCCAGUCCUAAGAACAUAUCCAAGAGCGAGAGCUAGCAAGAGGUGGUUUGUGAUUUAUCAUGUGUGUCAGCAUGAACCGUGCCAUUAUAUAGUUAGGGCAAACUCAAUAUGAAUCCAGAUGUGAUGCUCCCUUUCACAUGAAGCAUCCGAUUACUUUACCAGGAGUCAAGCCUAAAUCUGAUCGUGUGAGCAUCUCUACCCCAUUACGAGGGUAUGUCGCUUCAGUAUUGAAUGAAGAGGAUAUUCAGAAGAUCAGAAAGAGUUACAAUAUUCCAAACUAAGUGAUACUUAGGGCGCCUCUAGACAACGAAAGAGCUCACAAUCUAGAUCCGAUGAGAUUGUGGUUUACCAUGCUUAUUUUGAGUUAGGCUUUAGUGGGAUCGUGCCCUCUCUUAUUGCAAUUGUUUCAUAAAUUUUGUUGUUGCAUCCUCCUGACUACAGCCCCCUCACAUGUUUCAGGCUAUACCAUGUCUCGUUUUGAUGACCAAGAAGGUAAGAGCGCUCUCGGUUCUUUUAGGCGUGCAAGAGAUAAUCUCAUGCUGGAGGAGGAGGAGCCAGUCGUUAGAGUUUCGACUAAGCGUACCGCAAAGUCAGUUGAAUGUGCAGCCUCCAAACCCUCAGAAAUAAGGGGUUUGUCUUCAUCCUCCUGCCACACAUUAUUUGGGGCCUCCGAUCACUCUGUCAUGCUUGCGGAGCUCAACAAGAAAGCUUUCCCUCAAGACAUGGAUGGUUUUACCAAGCUUGGUCAUGUGGCUUUUCUUGAUGAGUCGCAAACUCAUCUCCUCAAGGUACUUCCUUCUUUCUUUUCUUAAACCAUUGGGAUUAGUCUCUCCUUCGAUGCUUUGUCAGGAAAUUCACUUUUAACUUGGUUUAUUGAUGCUCAGGUGAUGUCUGCUUGUCAUUACGCGAAGGUGGAGACAAAUAGUCUUCAAAGAUCUAUCCUCAAGGCAAGUAAUGAUCACAAUUCGGAGAAACAGCGUCACAACCAAGCUUUGGCCAAGAAAGAUAAGGAGUACUUCUCUUUUAAGGAGGAAAGUGAGGAACUGAUGAAUGGCUGCUAUGAUGAGGACCGAGAAGGAGCUAUGAGAAGGGGUCAAGCGCCUAGAGAAGAAGGCUAGUAUGGCAAAGAGUGUUGUCUGUUGUAUUCAACCGAUGGAAGAUGAUUCAAGAGUAUAAAAAGGGGUCGAUGUUCACUGGAAUGAUAGGAAAGCAGAUGAGGAGUAUCGCACGAUCUGCAUUAUCUGAUUCCCACAUGAAGGUGGACGCAGUACAGUUAGUUGAACCUAUUCUUAUUAUGGAAUCUAGAUUUGCCAAAUUACGAUUUAGCUUUUUUGACAAGUUUUAUGAUUGAUAUUGAAAUAUGGGAAAAAGUUAAAGUGUGUGCGUUCCUUUACUAAAGUUUAUGGACAAUUUUUUUUUUGUUACGUUGCAAUGCUUGUAUUACGCUGGUUUGCGGAAACUGUUUAGUCUGGUAAAUAAUGAACUUUGACUCUUGAAUUGUUUUGCACUAAAAUUCACCCUAGUAUAUCUUUUAAGGAGGCAAAGAAGUAGUGCAAGAAGCUAAAUGAACGAUAUAUACUGAUUACAUUCAAAAGUUUGUGUUACUCACUCUAUUUUGAUCCAAUUAAUUUGAGUUACUCAACAAUGUUUUAUUCACUCUGUUUUACUCAAUUAUUCUUUCUCACUCAAUUCACUAAUUUUUUUUUACUCAAACAACUUUAUAGGUAUAUAUAUAUAUAUAUAAUCACCUAUCAAACAUAUUCAAGCUGCUCAAUCCCUCCUGUCUCACUUAUCUUACUCUGGAAAAAAAUGGCGUAUAAAAAAGUCUCAACAGAUGAGGAACUACUAGUCACAUGUACUUUGCCAGACAAAGAGAUCCCCACCGGUUCUCUCCCAGUCGCUCGUCUUCAUCCAGUACUCCUAUUCGCUCAUACUCACGUAGCCGCUCAUCCUCAUCAAGAUCUCACGAUCGAUCAUCUUAGGGCAGCUUUCAUUCUCGCUCUUGUCGCUCAUCCUGCUGUAGUUCUCUCUGCUGCUCCCCCUGGCGCUUUCCUUUUCGCUUAUCUUAACCCAGCACUCCCUGCUGUUCCCCUUGUCCCAACUCCCCUUAUCGCUCUCCCUGUCCCAGCUCGUCUUGUCGCUCCCCUCCCGCUCAACUGUCACUGCUCCCCCUGCUGCUUCCCUUGUCCCAUCUCCUCCUGUCUCCCCCCCUUGCCCCUUAUCUUGCCCCAGCUCCCCCUGUGGUUUUCCGUUUCUCUUCCUUCGCUAGCUUUCCAAGACCUUGGCGAUUCUCCUCCUAAUAGACUGACUCAUAGCCAACGCCGGAGGAUGCGUAGAAAACAAAGAACCCGAAGCCGCAAGCAAAGAAAAAAGAAUGUCAAAAUGAGAAACAACAACGAAGGCGAUAACAACGAGGGCGGCGGAAUGGGCGGCGAAGGCUGCAUUGAAGCAUGAUAAUUUACUUUUAAAAAAAUAACUGAUUUUAAUAUGGCAUCAAAUAUGAGAAGAGUUUUUGUUUCUACCAAAAGUUAUAAUUAUCAAUAUCGGUUUCUAAAAUUUUCCUCCAUGUCUAACUGUUUUAUAUUUUAAAAGAGUGGAAUAGUAAUUGAGAAACUUCUUUGAUUAAAAGGAUAUAAGGGAGAUCCAAAUUUAAAAGGUAAAAAAAUUAAAAGGUGAUGAUCGUGGCAAUGGCCCCAAUGCGUGCCUCCACGUAUGAUUUUGAGUUAAUUACUUUGAGUGACUCAACUUUGUGUUACUCACUCUAUUUUGAUCCAAUUAAUUUGAGUUACUCAAAAAUGUUUUACUCACUCUGUUUUACUCAAUUAUUCUUUCUCAAUUCACUCAUCUUUUUUUUACUCAAACAACUUUAUAGGUAUAUAUAAUCACCUAUCAAACAUAUUCAAACUGCUCAAUCCCUCCUCUCUCACUUAUCUUACUCUGGAAAAAAAAAUGACAAAUAGAAAAGUCUCAAGAGAUGAGGAACUACUAGUUACAUGUACUCUGCCAGACAAAAAGAUCCCUGUCGGUUCUCUCCCAGUCGUUCGUAUUCAUCCAGUACUCCUAUUCGCUCAUACUCACGUAGCCGCUCAUCCUUAUCAAGAUCUCUCGAUCGAUCAUCUUAAGGCAGCCUCCUUUGUCGCUUUUCCUGCCGUAGUUUUCUCUGCCGCUCCCCCUGGCGCUUUCCUUCUCGCUUAUCUUAACCCAGCACUCCCUGCUGCUCCCCCUGUCCCAGCUCCCCUUGUCCCAGCUCCUCUUGUCGCUCCCCUUGCCGCUUCCCUGUCUCUGCUCCCCCUGCUGCUUCCCCUGUCCCAGCUCCUGCUAUCCCCCCCCACCUUGUCCCUUAUCUUGCCCCAGCUCCCCCUGUGGUUCCCCGUUGCUCCUCCUCUGCUAGCUUUCCAAGACCUUGGCGAUUUUCCUCCCAAUAGACAGACUCAUAGCCAACGCUGGAGGAUACGUAGAAAACAAAAAACCCGAAGCCGCAAGCAAAGAAGAAAGAAUGUCAAAAUGAGAAACAACAACGAAGGCAAUAACAACGAGUGCGGCGGAAUGGGCGGCGAAGGCUGUAUUGAAGCUUGAUAAAAUUUUUUUAAAAAUUAACUGUUUUUAAUAUGCCAUAAAAUAUGAGAAGAGUUUUUGUUUCUACCAAAAGUUAUAAUUAUCAAUAUCGUUAUCUAAAAUUUUCCUCCAUGUCUAACUGUUUUAUAUUUUAAUAGAGUGGAAUAGUGCUUAAAAUUGUGAAACCUCUUUGAUUAAAAUGAUAUAAAGGAGACCUAAAUUUAAAAAAAAAAAAAAAAAAAAUACAUUUAGUAGCUAUGUCGGGGUAAAGGGUAAAUUUCAACCUGAACCCUAGAAAAGUAGAAUCCAAUUUUCUCUCAAAUCGAUUCUCGAACAGCGAUGGCACGAACUGAACAUUAUUUCAAAUAAAACUGAACUGAACAUUAUUUCAAAUAAAACAAAGAAAAAUCAAAAUAUAAAUUUCAAAAUAUAAGUAGUCUAUAUAUAUAAAGUUAACUUUGCUCUCUUCUCCUUAAGCCACCUCACCAUCCUAAUCAUCAUACACAUCAUUUUACUAUUUAAUUAUAAUAAUUUAUUUAUACCAUUUUAUUCUUUAAUUUAAAUAUUUAUACACAUGUAAACAAGUUUUUCAAAAAGUAAUAUGAAAAGUCCUUUCAAAUGAUAAUUAUAAUAAAAUAAAUAUGUUAAAUUAGUAUAAAGUAGAUUAUACUAAUAUGUAUGUUAAAUAACAAAAAAAUAACAAAUAUAACAAACAAAUAUAACAAAUAAAAAUAACAAACAAAAAUAAAUAGAUAAUAAACAACUUAUCGCCAAAUCAACAAAUAAAAAUACAAUAAUUCGCACGAAUCCACAAAUCAUUCUCAACUAUUGGACCAACAUAUUAAAAGGACCUACAAUAUUAACAUCAUCGAUCUAUAUUUGGUAGGAGCCUUAAUAACACAUUUUUUCUACAACUCUCCAUAACACUUCCGUUUACGCCUACACAUCGAUUUAUACUAUACACACUUAAUUCUCAACUAUUAUCGAAACUAAAAUAAAAUAGAUUUUCUAUACAAACACUACAUGAGAUAGAAAAUAAAAAUAUGAUUUAGUUGAGAAAAUAAGUACGAAAUAAAAUAUGAAUCAUUUACUCAUAAACUACGUAAUAAAACUCCCGCGCGUAGCGCGGGCAACUGACUAGUAGAUAUAUAUAUAUAUAUAUAAUCACCUAUCAAACAUAUUCAAACUCUCAAUCCCUCCUCUCUCACUUAUCUUACUCUAGAAAAAAAAAUGACGAAUAGAAAAGUCUCAAGAGAUGAGGAACUACUAGUCACAUGUACUCUGCCAGACAAGGAGAUCCCUGCCGGUUCUCUCCCAGUCGCUCGUAUUCAUCCAGCUCCCCUUGUGGUUCCCCCUUGCUCCUCCUCCGCUAGCUUUCCAAGAUCUUAGUGAUUCUCCUCUCAAUAGACUGACUCAUAUUCAACGUCUGAGGAUGCGUAGAAAACAAAGAACCCAAAGCCGCAAGCAAAGAAGAAAGAACGUCAACAUGAGAAACAACAACGAAGGCGAUAACAACGAGGGCGGCGGAAUGGGCGGCGAAGGCUGCAUUGAAGCUUGAUAAUUUUCUUUUAAAAAAUAACUGUUUUUAAUAUGGCAUCAAAUAUGAGAAGAGUUUUUGUUUCUACCAAAAGUUAUAAUUAUCAAUAUCGUUAUCUAAAAUUUUCCUCCAUGUCUAACUGUUUUAUAUUUUAAUAGAGUGGAAUAGUGCUUAAAAUUGUGAAACCUCUUUGAUUAAAAUGAUAUAAAGGAGACCUAAAUUUAAAAGAAAAAGAAAAAAAAAUACAUUUAGUAGAUAUGUCGGGGUAAAGGGUAAAUUUCAACCUGAACCCUAGAAAAGUAGAAUCCAAUUUUCUCUCAAAUCGAUUCUCGAACAGCGAUGGCACGAACUGAACAUUAUUUCAAAUAAAACUGAACUGAACAUUAUCUCAAAUCAACCUCGACUGAACAUUAUAUCAAAUAAAACUACAUGAACUAUCAAAUUUGUGCCACAACAACAUUGACCGAGAUUAUAUUGGUCAACAACGAUGAGUCAGAUGCCAUGUAUAUAGAUUUUGCUGAGUCAUAUGCCACGUGUACAAAUUUUGCUGAGUCACCUGCCAUGUACAUGUGGCAUAUGACUAAGUAAAAUCUGCCUACAUGGCAUCUGACUCAUCGUAGUUGACCAACAUAAUCCCAGUCAAUGUUGAUUUUUGCAUAAAUUUGAUAGUUCAUGUUGUUUAUUCAAAAAAAUAUUUAGUUUAGGUUGAAAUUCACACGUUAGCAAAGUUUAGGUAUGAAAAUACACUUUUGAAAUUGUCUAGGUUGAAAUUUUCCUUUCACCCAGCUAUGUCGUCUUCACAAAAACCUUUGUUCCCUUUCUCAGCUUCCAUUGUCAGUCACUAACUCGCCUGCUCGAAACAUGAGCUCUCAAUCAAAUUAACUCGUCUUCCAGCUCAGAUCUCACCAGAAAUUCCAUGGACGGCCUCCUUGCCACGACACGUAACUCGACAUGCUCACAAUAGAACUUAUCGUCUGGCUAUAUAUUAUUCUCUUCUUCUUGUUUUUUUUCGGGGAAAAUUUGAAUUUCGUUUUGUCAAAAAUUAUAUAUUUUGAGUAUCGUUCUCUCUACAUUUGCCGCAUCGUUUUGUCUUUCUAAUAAGUUUUAGUGUCCCAUUUAUUUAUGAAUUUUCAAUUAUAUGUUUACCCUCUUUUAUGCUAACAAAAAAAUAAAAAUAAAAUAUAGAAGAACACAUCUCUCGUAUAAUAAAAGAGGGAUUUAUUUAUUUUAACAGGGUAAGGGUCGAUGUUGAGGUUUAUAUAUAUAUACACUAGAGGAUAGCCCGUGCUACCGCAUGGAUGACAUUUUCUCGAAGCGUUAAUAAAAUAGUAUUUCUUUUAAAUUGUUCUUAUCUAAGAUAGUGUUUAUUUUUUCAUAUCGUAAGUGUUUAGCAAAUAAGAUGUUUUCAGUUUUGGACAUGUAUAGUCGGUUCAACUGAUUAAUUUACGACCCGAACAUUGGAUCAUUUUUCGAUUUAAGUUUAAUGCUGAUAACUGGUAAUCUUAAAAACAAAAAAAAAACU
This 59284-nucleotide long non-coding RNA is filed under the name Capsella rubella. RNAcentral describes it as "long non-coding RNA (CRUB_LNC003878)". Lineage: Eukaryota; Viridiplantae; Streptophyta; Magnoliopsida; Brassicales; Brassicaceae. The record is from RNAcentral.